ACCCGAAAAAAAAUGGAUUUUUGGUUAGCUCUCGGGUAGCCUUCAUUGGGCUGUGUACCGGUACAGGGUUGAUGGCUGUACCGGUACAGGGUUGAUGGUUGUACCGGUACGUGAUUGUGUACCGGUACACAGGCAGCUUCCCAGCCAACCCGAGGGUCGGGUUUGGCAUUUUCGUGGGAUGUGUACCGGUACGUGGGCCCGUGUACCGGUACGCAGUGGCAGUUUUUGAGCAGUUUGAACUGUAGGGGGUUUUUCGCAAUUGUGGUCUUCUAUAUAGCACCCCAUGCCCCUUGGGGCUUUCCCUCAGCUGAGGAAGGAGGAGAAGGAGGUAAGAGAGCCCUCCUUACCAUUUCUUUGGAUUUAUACCCCUUUUUGUUGGGAUUUUGGUGGAUUUACUCCUCUUUUUGCCUUUUGAAGCCUUUUCUACCAUUGUUGAAGCUUGGAGCUUGGUUUUGGUGCAUGGUUGAGGGAAGAUCUUUGGACUUAGAGAAUUUAGAGCUUGGAUUGAUGCUUCUAAGAGGUAAUUUACUUGUUCUCUCCCUCUAGAAUUGAGUUUUAUUGUUGGAUUUGAGAUAAAACCCUAGAAUGGAGACUUAGGGUUUGAUUUGGGCAUUUUUGAUCUAGGGCUUUUGGAGCUAAAUUAAUUGGAUUAGAACCCUCCUUUUGGUUGGAUUGGAAGGAAUUUUGCUCUCUUUUGGAGCUUGGGAAAGAUUUUCUACUCCCUAGGUGAGAUUUUAGCCAUUUUGCCUUGAUGGUUAAUAUUUGAUCUUAUCGUUGAUCGUAAUGCCCGUGUAUCUCUUCGCUCCUUACUUUUAGGAUACUUAGAGACUCGUGGACAACUCCGUUCGGCGAAACGAAGGACUACGCGACGUUUCGGUGGGUUUAACCUAGCCACACAAUGAGAAAAUCUCAUUUGUGAUGAUUUGAGUAUCGUUAAAUGAUAAAGCAUGCAUAAUCAUGUUAUAUAUAUUUAUUAUGAAUUUUAGAAUGCUUAACAUGCCUAUGUAAUGUAUAGUAAAUUUUUGGAUCUCUAUGUGAUAUAGUGCAUGCAUAUGAGAUGUAGCAUUCUAGUUGAGACUUGGAACCAUGAUUCCUAUUAUGAAAAUGAACAUUACUUUCAUGCAUUUAACCUUCAUGCCCAAUUGUGACAUUAGGGACUUCGGAAGCCUAGAGAGGCUUGGGGACUUAGACUAUUUGAGAAUUUGGGCCAAUGUCAUAAAGAGGCAUUGGGCUCGGGCUAUAGUGAACAUUGGCAUUAAUGUCUUAAUUGGAACAUAGAAAAUGAAUUGGGCUUGAUUGGUUGUGAUGCUUAAGUGUCAUAAAGAGGCACUAAGCCAGUGUGUGUUGAGUUAUUACAUUGUGACAUAGAGCUAGACCGUUGGGAUACUAGUAGCUAUUGCCAUGUUUGAGACAUGAGGGUUGGAUACUUGAGCCUUUGACUACGCUUGCUUGCCAUUUGUGCUCAUUCGCACAUACUUGUGAGGGUCGCUCCCUACAAACCGGCACUUCGGAGUUAGCCUAUGCGACCUAUGUUCACUCGUGCGGUAUUGAGAAGCUUACGAGGUCGAGUGGGACAGACACAUUUCAAGAGCAGGAAUGUCGUGCUACCACAGGCACUUAGGCGGUACAAGCUGGACUACCUUGGGUAAGUCCUUAAUUGGAAAUUGAAAUCGACAUGGCGUCGAGUGGGUUUUAAUCUCUACUAGAUAGAGAGUAGUAAUUGGAUUACUUGGACUUGCUUCUAGCAUAGUUUUGGACACUUGAGUAUAUAUACAUACAUAUAGUAUGCUAGGAAAUGUUGCUUUUUGCAUUCAUAUGCACAUUGUUGCCAUGAUAAAGCAUGAUCUUCAUAACUUUAUAAAGUAAACCGUGACAAUUACUUGUCGCCAUGUAGAGACAUAUUGUUUAUGACAAGUAAAGGUGCAUGAUAUUAACACCAUGUUUAAUUGCAAUAUAGUAGCUUAGCACUUUAGUCGUGCUUUCAUAAAUACAAUUUAUUCAUUAUUAUUGCUCUCUUUUUAGACUUACCCUUUCUUUGGGGCCUAGUGGUGCAUUGAGCUGAGGUCAGUAAUUACCCACUGGGAACUAUAAAUUAUAGUUCUCACGCUCUCUGUUUUAUGUUUUCUUUCAGAGCCUUCCACGCCGGGAGAGGCUAGGGACAGUGGGAAGGGCGUUACUUCAAGCUAGCUCUUCAGCGAGAAACGAGUUGAUAGGUGGUCUACCUCUCGAUAUUUUUACUUUGGAGAGGUUGAGAGCUGUACCAGUGUAUUAGAGACCACCCUUUUGUGUACUAUUUUGGACAGACAUUGUAUAACUAUAUGUUUCACUUUUAUUGUUUUAGUAUUUUCUUUUACCUUGUGGUAGAUGAUAGAUCUAUUUGUGCUCUGAUAUCUCUAGAUGUUGAUUAUCUUCGGUUUAUUUUCCACUGUUGAUGUAAACGCCUUAUAUGUGCUGACAUAUGGCGGGUCUGGGCACGCUACCGGGAGGGCCUCUGCCGGUCCCGGGGCGUGACACCCAUUGUGCUUUACGCAACCUCGCACUUCUCGAAACUUGAACCAAAGCGGCCCCGCUAUUCGCCGGCCACGCUAUUUGCUAUUCGGCUAUAAGAAUUUAAAACUUCUGAAGCUAAAAGAUAAGAAAUGCGCGCCCCGCAACAGGGAUAAUAGUGCAACGCCCCGGAGCAACGCGAGGAAAAAACGGUACAACAACCCUGCUAACAGUGCAUCCAUUGGCUUGCUCUAGUGUAAUCUCCACUAAAGCAGAUCAGCGACGCUCGCCUUCAAUCUGCUCCCUCACCAGGGCAACCCCCCACUCCCACUUUCCGAAACCGUAAAGAGUAUAGGGGAGUUAGUGGAAUAAGCUUCGCCGAGCGACAUGGCUUUAGGGUCUGGAACUGGAGGAAGGAGGAGGUGGUUUCGCGGCGGCGAGGCAGGACGGUUAACGGCAGGUGCAGCGUUCGAGAGGUGCGACAUAACUGCUAAAACGAUUGAAUAAUAGUGUAAAAUUUCUCAUAAAUGCUCAUGUCCUUCUUUCAGCCGUAUAAUAAAUCCAUCGUUAAAUGCGAAUAAUAGUGUAAGACCGGGUGAAAGACUGCAAGAAAGCUUCUAACAGUGCAAUGCGGUCCUAAUAAUAGAGUAACAUUCAAUUUAACAAUGCAAUGUAGUUCCGACCAGGGUAACACAACCAGUGGAACACUGAUAAUAAGAGUCCCAAUAAUAGUUCAAUUCUUUAAAGAAAUUGUGCAACGAGUCGUUCAGCAGUGUAAAGUUUUCUCCCCAAUUGUUGAUAACAUGUAAUUAAUAGUAAAAACAAGUCCGUAAAAACACGAUUAAUAGUCCAAAGCGUGAUAAAAGAGGUCAACUAAUCUUGUAAGAGUGCAAUACGAUGGUAAUAAGAGUGCAAUGGUAUGAAAAAUAGUGCAACUAAGCUUGUAAGAGUGUAAUACGGUAGUAAUAAUAGUGCAAUGAUUUGAAAAAGAGUGCAACACUAGCUUAAUUGAGUAUUUUUAAACUUAAUAGUGCAACCCAAUCUAAAUUGAUGCAAUACGCAGAAUUAUUAGUAUAAGUCGUCAUUAACAAUUGAUCAAAAUAGUGCUACAUUGUUUGCUAAAUAGUAUAACAACUUUGUAAGCAAUCCAUUAAUCUGUGAAGAAGAAUUAUAUUUUCUUUGAUGCAGAUUACACGAUUUUAUAGUACUUUGCCACAUACAAGAGGAUUUGCAUACAAUACAACGUUCUAUUACAUCAACUAUAACAAACUCUUCAUAAUAAUUAAUUAACAAAAAUAUGGAAUCAUCUAAGCUUGUCUGCAAUUCCACGCGCAUAGAGCCGACGCUAAUAGGUAUAGGUGGCCAGAGGAGAGUGACGAAGGAGACUGCGAGGAGGAUUCGGCUCGCUCGGAAGGAUACGAUCGAGCAACGAGGCAUUAAGAUUGAUUCGCACUAUCUGGAAUGUUUUAUUUACCUCGAGCCCUUUGGAGCUCCGCUUUACUAUGAAAUAGACAGUACAAUCAGCAAAACAUUAGAAUCCAUCAAUAACAAUAAAGAUCUGCAAAAAUUUAAGAACCUAAAAGAAAGGAAGGCCAAUGGGCUCGUGGCAAAUAAAGCACUCCAGAUAGUGUGAAUCAAUCUUAACGUCUGGUUGCUCGAUGAUACCCUUCCGAGCGAGCCGCCUGCUCCUCGAACUCUGCUUCGGCUCUCUAUCGUCGUUGCCUAAACAUCCUGGAUGAACUGUAGUCUCAUCGCAGGCGUUGUGGCAGUUGUGGCGACGCAUCUCUUCAUAAAGGCGACAAGGUUAAGGCGACACUACUUUUGGUCAAGGAAGCGAAUGUGACGAACGGGGUUCACCGCAAGCGCAGGUGAAGCGACGUCAGAGAAGGAGGCCCUUUGUAUUCCCGUUCCAAUCACUGUGGUGGCGCCGUCGACUGCGUACGCAUCUCUGCAACCCGGCGCCAGCACCGCCAUAGCAAAUACGAGGAGCCCCCUCCUGCGACGCCACUGCACUUCCUUUUACGAUGAACGCUGUCCGUUGCUUUCACUUCCGUGACCAAAGAUAAUGUUGCUUUAACCUCGUUGUCUUUACGAGAAUGCAUCCCAUAUAUAAAAAAAACGGAAAUACAUUUGAAGAGCCGCUUUCACUUCUUGAGGUGUCUCUUCGCCUCACCUAAUCGAGUAUAACGUACAAGUUUGUGUAGGAAUUCUUGCCGAGCAUUAAAUGCGGCUUGCGUGGAAACACAGUCUUCGGGCCACGUUAUUCUAUUCGCAAGACCCAGUGUUUGUUGUUCGGUUCUCUGAGAUUUGGAAGAAGACGCAACCAAUGAUUUGAUUAUUGAUGCAAAUGGAAUUGAAAUAGUGCAACAAUCCUAAAACAGAGCAGUGCAACUUUUUUUGCAAUAAUAUUUUAAUUUUUAACCAGAGAAAAUGAUGCAACGAGACCAUAAAUGGUGUAACAAUGGUGAAAACAGUGCAAACAGUCUUCCCUAAAUAGUAAAAAAAAUUCCUAAGCAGUGCAACGAGCAAUUCAUUUGAAGAACCAAUGGGUAAAGAGUGAAAAUGCACUUGUAGUCAUUCGAUUCUGUACACGCUGCUUUCCCUUUCCGAGGAGAAAAGCCCAUUGACAUUGCCCUUAUGAUGCAAUAACGCAUCUCGAGAACCGAACGUAAUCUUAAUGAUGUCGCUGACGAUAUUUCUUGUUGAGGUGCUAUUGAAAAAUGGCGCUAAUACCGAAACAGAAAUGUAGAACAAUAAUUUGAAAUAUCGGUACAAUGGAUAACGGUUUAGUGUAAUACUAGUCACAAUUAGUGUAAUAUACUCACAAGCAUUGUGAUAAUCCGCCAAAAUGGUGCAAGAGAUGCGCCGUUUUGUAAUAAACUGUCGGCGGUUGAAGGCUAUGCUAACGUUGCAUGCAGAGAUGUUGGAAAUAAAUUAUGGCGGGAAUGGACCUACCUUUUUCCGCCUCUUGUAGAACUUACCAACUCAUGCAAGUUAACUGAAUUAUAUUUUUAUAAAAGAGUGGUAUUGAAUUACUAUGAGCUAAGUUUAUUGUUUCCAACUCAUGGAUAACGUUGAAGUUCCAGUGCACUACCAUUUUAAUGGCUUCUUUCAGGAGGAUAAAGGUCAGGUCAAGUAUGUAGGAGGAUCCUGCCAGCUCGCUUUCAUCGGGCAAGGGAAGAGUUUUAAUUCCCUGCGAGCAUGGUUCUUCAAAUACAUGAAUAGUUCACUGAAAAGCUGCAAGAUUGAAAUUAAACUUUGUUAUAGUGGAAAAAUCGGCAAACUCAUCGAUAUUGUUGAUGACGAUGAUGUCCGAAAUAUGUCGAGACUCUAUAAAAGCCACACAUUUUCGAUGGAACUAUAUGUCGUGAGUAAUGUAGUUGAGAAAAAGGUUCCUAUAUGUGAUCCCGAUGACAUAGAUGAGGUGCUUACGGACGAACGGCUGGACUGUUGAUUAGCAGCCGUUCUGCGGAUGCAUCUACAUCUACACAUCAGCCGCCAAAUUUUGAAAUAGUUGGCUCGCAAGUUGCACUAUUGGUACUCUUUUGCACCAUUACCUUUUACCUGUUGCACCCGUAAGCACAUUAUAUUUAAUGGUUGCACUAUUCCAUAUAUUUUGCACUACUAACCAGUUACCAUGCACUGUCAGGUAAUAUUUUGCACCAUUAUCUUUUACCUCUUGUACCUAUAAGCACUUUAUAUUUAAUGGUUGCACUAUUACAUAUUUUUUGCAUUGCUAACUUGUUAUGAUGCACUGGUUGGUAAUCUUUUGUAUCAUUAUCUUUUACCUCUUACACCCGUAAGCACUUUAUAUAUAACGGUUGCACUGCUACAUAUAUUUUGCACUACUUACUAGUUACAAUUCACUGCUUGCACUUCACUGGUGCUGUAGAUCCUGCCAUCCUAUUCUCAUCGAUGAUGCUGAUACGACAAACAGUGACGGAGGUAUUAUUAUCACUGAUCUGAAAGACUAGGCGGAUUCCGACGAUAGCAUCCGUAUCGUCACAUCUUCUCCCGAUGGAUUUCAUCGGACAUACAACGCCAUGGAUGUUGUCCUAUUGCGCCAAAGCGACGCAAUGGGACUUACUGCUAAGCAAUUCGAUGACGACGAGAUAGAAGAAGACCUCAUCGUGAACAGCGCUACGAUAGAGUCAGAUUGAACUGUCACAGAUAUGGACGAUGUCCACGAGGGCCAGCUCUACAAGACACAAGGCGACUUCAAAAGAGUUCUGAAAGCAUACGCCAUGAAAAGAGGUUUUGAGUACGCUCCCACCAAAUACAACGACCUUAAGAUAACCGUAUGAUGUCGUAUCGCAGAUUGCCCGUGGAGAAUAAAGACGCAUCACGUACCAAGACUUACACAAUGGUGGGUAAAGAAAUUUGAUUCGAAACACACUUGUAGUAGGGCAAUAGGGGGAUUCGGCCACAGGAAUUGCGAUGCAGCAUUUAUCGCAGCAUUUGUUAGGAAGCAGGUCAUGGCAAACGAGAAAUACACACCGAAGAUCGUUCAGACCGAGAUUCUGCAGCAGCAUGGCGUCAGAAUUUCCUACUGGAAAACCUACCGGGCCAGAAAAAGAAUCCUUUAGGAGGUGCAUGGCGAUUUCGAGGGCUCAUUCGCUGCACUUCGGUUGUACAUGCGAGAGCUGAGGAAUGGUGAUGCGGAUGCAUGUCUUCAGCUACUUUAUCAGGACGAGGGUCAUUUUCACUAUUUUUUCUGGGCAUUCGGUGCAUUGAUUCGUGCAUUCUGGAAGCACCGCGGGCCGCUAUUUGGACUGGCUGGUACGAUCUUGCACUAAUAAGCGAUGUUCACACCAUUAUAUAAAUAUGUUGCACUAUUGUAUAUUAUAAUGAUGCUAAAUACAAUAUUUUGCACGAUUACGCACUAAUAUAUACUCUUUGCAAUUCUUCCAAAUACUUUCCUAACUGGUAAGUUUAGAGGUGCUUUGCUAACGGCAUCAUGUAUUGAUGAAAAUAACUGCAUACUGCCAUUAGCGUGGGCAGUUGUGGAAGGUGAAAAUCGCUAUUCACUACUACAGAUACAAGAUUUAGUGGCGACAAAUGUCGCCACCAAAGCCAAAAUUGUCGCCACGAAAAAUAUUUUGGCGGCGACAAUUCGUCGCCGCAUGCCGCCGCCUAUAACCCCGUCGGUAAAACUAUUUGGUGGCGACAAAAUGUCGCCGCUAAAAGUUAGAUAAUUAGCGGCAACAACCUGUCGCCGCGAAAAAUUAGAGAAUUAGUGGCGACAUGAUGUCGCCUCUAAAAGUUAGAAAAUUUAGAUAAUUAAUGGCGACAUUUUAUCACUGCUAAAUAUUUGGUGGCGACAAUUUGUCUCCACUAAAAGUUAGAUAAUUACCUACGGGGCCUAGUUAUAUGGUGGCGACUAUUGUCGCCACUAUUUUUCUGAUCGAAAAUUAUUUUUUGAGAAAAAAUAAUUGGUAGUAAUAGAUAUUAUUGAUUUAAUAUAAAUUGCUAAAAAUAACCUAUAAUUAUAAUAAUUUCUCGUUCUUAAAUUUUAACCUUUAAUUUCAAUUUAAUCCUCUCAGAACAAAAUUAAACCCAAACACUAUGGCUCAAACACCUUAGAACCAAUAUAUAUUAAAUCUAAUUGAAUAUCUAUAAGUAUUUAAUCAUAAAAUUAAUCCACACAAAUAAGUAAGACUGAAUCAAACUUUAAAUGUUAGAGUAUCAUUGCAUUGUCACCUAAUACACCCAACACAACAAAAAAACAAAACACAAUAAUAGUGUUUUUGUCAUUUCUACAUGCUAUCAAAUGUAAAGUUUUCAAAAUAUGUCAAGUUUACUUAAACUUGAUUCAUAUAUCGUCAAAAUACUGCCAAAAUUUUUCUCGCCACCACCUCUUAUAAAUCUGCAAAUAAAAAUAAAAAAAAAUUAGCAAGUCCUCCAACAAUUAAACCUGCAACAGAAAAGUGACAAGCUUAUCAUCUUUUCCACUAUAAGCAACAUUCAAGAUUAAUUCAGAAGCCUAGUUACUUGACAACAGUAUUGCACAAAUACAAAAAAUGGAAAGUACCUCAAGCAGGGUAACCUAAAAAUUCUAAAUUAUGAAACUUAAUCCAAAUAAUAACUAUUAUUCCUGCAUUUUUCUACUUAAAAAAUGCAUCAUCAAACAACGCUGCACCUUGAAUCGCCACUUAUAGUUAGGACAAGUCAUUGAACAGAGCUAAUGGAAUUGUAGUGGGUUCCAUCGGACAACUUUACCUUUACCGUCUACAUUUAUCUUGUGCUUCCAGUUAUAUGGAGACUCUUUUCAUAAGUAACGAAUAGUUCCUAUGUUGUGCCAGUUGUGAUCUGGAGUAAUGAUUCUCUUAAGCAUCUUUCCACGCCGGAAAUUUUUUCGGAAAAAAAAGGUCAGUUUAGAAACAAAAAGAGGAGCUUGCAGUUCAUUGUCUUUCUUGUCCCAAGAAUCAUCAUGCACUACCUACAAAAGAGAAAAAGAAUAAAAGUUAAAACAAUGUAAACGUAAAUCAUGCAAAUAGAUUUUGAAUAAUAAAGCAAAUAAGCAACUCAUAAAAAUCCCUAAUGAUUUCAUACAUCUCAUCAGCACUCUCAUAUUCAAAUAGUUUAGAAUUUAUUCGCAUAAAAAAGAUUAAGAAUGCCUAAGAAGUAUUUAAACAUACAGGAACUGAAUUGGAAAUUCUUUUUAUUAAUAAAAAGGACAAACUUUUUGCAACUUGACAAAGAGUUCAUUAGCGUUUAACAUCAAAGUCAAAAUCAAGAGGACAAAUCAAAAAAGCAAAGAUAGAAAAAAUUACAGUGUUUAACAUCAAAAUUAAAAGCCCAACUAGCUCGAGCUCAGGUCUGUUGAGAUCCAAAUCUUAACCUGCCUUAAAAAUGGAGCUUCGACACGAAAACAAACUAAGUUGGAACAAAUGGCUGAAGUGAAAACUUUCUACAAGUUCAGGGACUAGAUUACUUGAGUAUAUACAGUGAGAACUGAAGUGAAGUUCUCCACGAAUUGUCAUGCAAAAAUUUAUACGUGAGAACCGCAUGAUGCUAACGAAACAACAGAGGUUAGAGACGCAAGAGUCAAAUCAGUAUGAUGAACAAUCAUUCUGUAUUCCAUCGUUCAAAACAAGAACAUAACAUGUUGUUUUUCAUUUUGGGAAAUUAACAAAGAAAGAUAUUUUUGCCCACAUUAAAAAAGUGGUAAUAAAAGUUAGACCUUCCAAAGGCUUGUCGAAGUUGUUGAAGCACAUAAUUGUCACCUUCAACUGCAGAAGCACUUCUCGCCGUUGUUUUUGGUGCUUCUGAUUCAGCGCAAGCUCUCAAUACCGCCUCAUUCUGCAAUAGUUUGUUGCACAUUUAAGUUCAUAGAUUAUUAUAAUUUGAAGACAAUUUUCCAAAAUUACACAUCAUGAAAUCACUGCUGCACAACGAAAAGUGGUCAAAAAAUGUAAAAGGAACGGAGAGAAAAAGUAGGAGGCAGUUCUGUUAGUAGGCAAUUUUGUCGUUGGUUACAAGGUUGUCAAAUUCAAUUGGUGAUAUCCUAUUCUAUUCCUUAAUGUCUUACACCUAACUUUUGUCGCAUACCUACCCAAAGUAAAUGGGCAUCAACGAUUGUUAAUUUGUGACUUAUUAAAUAACGUGAUGAUUAUAUGGCUUGGUUUCUUGACCUCUUUUCUAGUACUUGCCACCAACCUGUAUACUGUACUAAUUAACAUGUAACAAAUAGUUGGUGGAGAUAGUACACCAACCUGUAUACUGUACUAAUUAACAUGUAACAAAUAGUUGGUGGAGAUAGUACACCAACCUGUAUACUGUACUAAUUAACAUGUAACAAAUAGUUGGUGGAAUAGUAAGGCUCCAGCUGACAAUAAGUGUACUGGCUUCAACUAAAUCAUUUCCUCUGCUUUUGCAAAAUGGAAAGAGCGUCCAUUUGUAGAGCUCUGGAGUUAUCACUCGUGGAAGCUUAGUAGUUCCAUUACAACUUAUUAAAUGCAGCUUUAGUAAAAGUUACACAACAAAUCAUUUUACUAGAAGCAAAAAAGAGUUAGAAAAUUAAAAUGGUAUCAGUAAACCACAACCAGAAUCAAGCAUUGGGGAUGAUAUUAUAUAUGAAGAAUGGACAUAGCAAUCAGAAUGACAAAGUGCUUGUCUAAUGUAUUCAUGACAUAACCUUUAAAUGGAAGAGCUCACAAGGUGACCACAAGACCAACAUAGUUCUAUGGUUCUAGAUAAGGGGCAAUUAGAAACUCUUCAAUUAUAAGAACAGUUUACAAUUUGACAACUUAACUAAGAAAACUAUCAAUAUGAUGGACGGGCAGAGCUACUACAGAAAAAAUAAGGGAAUUACUAUCCAGCUUCAGCACGUCCAACAACACUGCAGGAAGGGAUAAAGAGGAAACUCAGUGAAUUCUAGUAAAAAAUACCACAGAGCAAAAUGGUCUGCAAAUCUAUCUAAUUUAGAUAUAAAAUCUAAUUAAUUUCAAUAAAUGAAUGGAGUAUUAAGUAAAAUUCAGAGAAGCAACAACAUGGAUAUUAACAAAACUUUGUUCAGUAAAUAGACUUGGUAAUUACAAAUUCACUAUCGCCAAAAUUUAGAACUGAUUUGUAAUAUAAUCAAUAGAAGUUCCAACUAUAGCAGUAAACGAGCCAAAAGCCUGGGAUAAAGAGACAUGAUGAAUGUAAGUUCCCAUCCAAUAAAGCAAGAACUUCAUAUAGUGAGCAACCAAUACAUCAAGCAAUCUAUUCUAGUUGCAAACAACCCUUAAGUAUUAAACUUCCCCUCAUUUGUCCAGGUCAAUCUUGUCUAUAUCAAAUACAUUUCAGACCAUGAAGAAAAAUUAUCCAUCUCCCUUCUGCUUCACCAUUCCCUUUAUUUCCUUAUUGCCAAAUAACAGAACGCAAAAGUAUCAGGAAUUUUACAACAUCAAUCACAGGAAAUUUAGAUAUCUAAUUUUUCUUAAUAUAUAAAAUUUCUUUUUUCCCCCAUUUACUUGGUAAUCUGUAAGUCCAAAACACAAUAAAAUUAUAGUGCAAAUUAUCAAAGAUGUCCAGUAAUUGCUCCCAAUUAAUAUCAUGUUAUCAUUCAAGAACUCUUGUCCUAUGCAUUGUGGCAAAUACACAAUUAAUUAGUAAAGAGAGAAAUUACUCAAAAAAUUACGAUAGGGAUGGCAACGGCUGCUGCGGCGAUGACUGAGAGACAAUGAAGCAUCCACAUGAACUAGCGACCGAGAGGCAACGGGUGAAACAAGCUGCGAGCUAACAAAGGGCGUAGAGUGCAGGGUGACAAGCUGCGAGCUAACAAGCUGCGAGCAUCCACCGCCGUCGGGAAGAUAUCAAGGAUGAGCGAUCUAGGGUUUGUGGCACGCACCUUUGAAGAUGAGCUUCUGGCCACGGGGGAGGAUGUUGGUAAGGGGUUGGAUUAGGGUUUUGAGGUCAACCUCAAAGGCGGUUCCACCUGCGGGUUUGGCUAGAAGACGGGUACCUGCGGCUUCUGGCCGCAGGGGAGGACGAGGCGGCGCGCGUUUGCCCACGGCGAGGGAGGAUGUUGGUGAGGGGUUGGAAGCCGCUCGUGGGGGUGCUGGAGGACGAGGCGGCGCAGCUAUGGAAGCUCCCGAUGAAGACCACAGUGGCGAGGCGGAGGGGACGAAGAUGGGUAAACUUGCAGAGAGAGAGAAAGAGUAAUAGGCAAUGUAAAAUUUUAUUUACAGCUGUAAUUUUAUUAAGUUUUUUUUUAUGUUAAAAGACAAUAAAGUCCCUAGGCCUUAUGUAAUAGAUGUUAAAUAAGUGAGGGUAAAAUUGUCAUUCUGAAGGAAUGGGUUGGUGAGUGGCGAAAAAAAGAGAGGGAAGUUAUGGCGCUCUUCAUAAGGAUAUAUCGCGGCGACACCUUGUCGCCACCAUUUUCUACGCAAUGGCGGCGACAAAUAAAUGUCGCCACCAUUUCCUAAGAAUCAGCGGCGACAAAUAAAUGUCGCCGCCAUUUCCCAAGAAUCGGCGGCGACGAAAAAAUGUCGCCGCCAUUUCCUAUGAAUCGGCGGCGACAAAUAAAUGUCGCCACCAUAUUAAAUACAUUGGUGGCGACAGUGCUUGUCGCCACCAAAAAGUCGCCACUAAAUAUCCCUUUUGUUGUAGUGAUUCCUGGCACUGGUUUCUAGAAUAGUUCCAGGAUAGUGUCGUCGGUGAUCACGACGUCAGUAGAGAAAACAAUAUACUUACUAUUAUUUCCAAUCGACAAAAAGGUUGGAUUGAAGAUGUAUCCGAUGUUUUUUCGGAUGUACCUUAUGGUUAUUGCAUGUACCAUCUGUCUACCAAUUUCUCGCACGCGCCAAAAAAUACCUCUGCGUGGAGAAGAUUUUGGGUGGCAGUGCGUGCUUACACCAUCACGGAGUUCAACGAAUACAUGGAGAAGAUGAAGGAUUUGAACCCGGAAUAGUAGAAGUAUGUGGUCAAGCUUCCUCGGUAUAGGUGGGCUAUCCAUUGUUUCCUUGAAAGGCGUUAUUCAAUGCUCACUUCCAACUGUGCCGAGACGAUAAAUAGCGUUAUUCGACAUUUAAAGAGUCUUCCAAUUAACUACCUGGUCGAGGAAACACGAAAGAAAACAGUGUGGUAUUUUUACCAGAGAAAAAAUACUAGAGAGAAGAUUACCAGUGUUUUAACGCUAUAUACAAAAAAGAUAUUAGAGAGCUCGAGGGAAGCGUCCUGCUUUUACACACUGAACCAUUCGACCGAUGUCCUUUUUCAGGUCUUGUUGUCUAUUUUGCACUAUUUUAACACUAGUUUGCACUACUUAUGAAUAGGUUACACUAAUGUUGGAACGUAUUGUACGAUAUCACAUAAUGUUGCACUAGUGUAAGUGUAACAUACCACAUCCCUCGUAAAUCGUGCCGAGUUUCGUCGAAACGAGCGGAACGCGGAGUGGAACGAGUGGGUAUAGGCGCUAGGUGUAUUGGAGCCUAUAUAUGGUGCAAAGGGACCCGAGAGAGUGAGAUUUCAAAAUCUGGCUAAGUCCCAGAUUUUGUACUCUUGGGGACCGGUCCCUGAAGGAGAGACCGGUCCCCGUGCGCGUAGCCUGCCAGAAAAUCCUGAGGCAUUCGGUCCCUGGUGGUGAGACCGGUCCUCGGGAGACCGGUCCCUUGGGGGAGAGACCGAUCCCUCGCUGCGCAGCAGCUGAAAAAGCCUGAAAAUCGGCUAAGUCCUGGAAAACCCCCGUUCGGGAACCGGUCCCUGGUCGGGGAGACCGGUCCCCGAAAGCGAAAAAUGCCCAGUCUGGGCAGAUCAAUAGGAAACAAGUGGAGAGGCUUAAGUGUAAUUGUUACAACACUAUAUAUGGCCCAUCCCCUCUUUCCCACAGCAUUUCUCUCAUCCUCUCUCAUUUUCUCUCUUUCUCUCUCUAGAACCCCUCUAGAGCUUGGAGAAGAAGAAGAAGAACUUGGAGAAGAAGGUGGAUUUGGUGCUUUGGAGGUUCUAGGAGCUCUCCAACAAGAAGAACCUUGGUGGAACUUGGAUUAGAGGUAAGUUUUGUAAGGUUUUCCUCUAGGGUUUGGGUUUUGGUUUGGAGAAUUGGAGCUUUGUGUUCCUUAGGGGCUUUAGAGGCUCAUUUAGGCCAUGAACAACAAGGUAUCCAUGAGAGCUCAAGGUGCUCUCAUGGUGAACCCUUGGAAGUUGGGUUAGGAGCCCUAGGGUUGGUUCCAAAGGUCUAGAAACCUUCCUAGGAUGCUCCUUAGAUGAUUCUAAGCUAUUAUUUGCUUAGGGUUGAGAUCGAUUCAUGAGGAAACCCUAAAUGACAUUGUUAGGGCUCAAAUUUGGGGCUUUUGCCCUAGAAUUUUUCGGGGGCAAAUUGACCCCGUAGAACUAAAUUGGGGGUCAAAUAAACACGUUGGACAACCCCGUUUGACGAAACGAACAUGUUUAAGAAUAGUUCAUGUAUACAAGUGUGACGCCCCAACUUCCCAGGGGGUCACCCAUCCUAGGACUACUCCCGUCCUAGCACGCUUAACUCUCUUAACCUCUUGGGUCUUGCCACCACCCAAAAUGCUUAAGCCGGGUUAAGAGUUUAGCCCUAUUAUAUCUCAUAUAUAGGACUAUCUGGGGUCUCACAAUCUCCCCUCCUUUAAGCCCUGACGUCCUCGUCAGGCUCAGACUCACAAGUACCAGGCGAUGUGAGACUCGUCUCGCUAGCCCGUCAUCCAGACCCUGGCUCAACCGAGACUCAUCUCACACUUCCGGCUGGUAAUUGGCUCUGAUACCAUCUGUGACGCCCCGACUUCCCAGGGGGUCACCCAUCCUAGGACUACUCCCAUCCUAGCACGCUUAACUCUCUUAACCUCUUGGGUCUAGCCACCACCCAAAAUGCUUAAGCCGGGUUAAGAGUUUAGCCCUAUUAUAUCUCAUAUAUAGGACUAUCUGGGGUCUCACAACAAGGGCCUAAUUUGGCACCAUUUUGGAUUGUAGGACGCGGAUCGUCGUUCGUAGCAUUCGGGAGUUUCGUAUUCUACACCCACACGAUUACGAGAGGCGGGGGGUGCACGCCGGAAUCGUUGGAUUCCCUUCUAUGUCUAUUUCUCUAUUCUUGAGCAUAUGGUUGUUUAUUCCUUCAUGCAUAUUAGGGUUAAUGCACAUGUGAACUUUGGUUGUUUUUAUUACGUUUAUCUCAGGGGUAUUUGAAAAUGGAGAUAAAUGGAACCAUGAUGGACAUGAGUUAUUGAACCCUAGGAAUUGCAUGAUAGUGGGACUUGGACUUAGCAUAAGUAAACAAAUGGUGACAAUGACAAUAGAGAGAUAGAUUGGCUUAGACAAAUGGAUGUUAAACAUAGAUUUAACUAUAGUGAUAUUGUGACGAGAUCGACUAGAAAGUAACAUGAAAAUAUAGGUAGAAAACCUAUUACAAAAGUGGCAACGUGACAUGUGGCUUAAUAUCCUCAAUGUGGGGAUUUGAUCGAUACUCAUGAUAAGUCUUGGCUUGAGGGAAGUCGCUCUCCCUCAAGCGGUGUGUUUUCGAAAAUCGACACCACAGGGAGCGAGGUCCCUGAAGACGGUCCCUCAGGUCGGUAGUGCUUGGAGCCUCCCCGGUAAAGAAAGGGAUUUCGGGUUAUGAGUUUUUGGGGUUAACACGGUUAAUCGGCAAGAUUGGGUAAGAGCUAGAGCUUAAUUAUGAUUUGAGCAUGCAUGCAUUUUUCAUUAUUGUACUGAGUAUUUGUAUCCACUGACAUUCUUCUGCAGACAUAGUAUUAGAUGCAUUAGUAAUGGUUAUUUUUUUUCCUUGAAAUACUUAUGCCUGGAUAGACUUAGUGGGUAAGUCGGCGAGGUCGGAUGCCGAACCCACUGGGAACUCCGUUGUAGUUCUCACUCCACUAACCUUACAGGUCCUAGCACGAGCGGGGCGGCGGAGGACCGAGGCAAGGGUAUAGCGCCGUAGAUAGCGGCCACCGAGACUUUAUGCAUUUUGUAGCCAAUUCCCUUUUGUGUAUACAUGCAUCAACUUUAUUUUGUUGACUCCGGGAUGUAAAGCUGUAAACAAUCAUGUAAAAAAAUUGGUGGAUGGCUAAAUGUAAAAAGAUAUGAUGGAUGAAUGAAAUGUAAAGUUUUAAUUACUCGUAUUUGAUUUAAAUUUAAUCAAAUAUCAUGUAUGUUGUACAUUUAGCUCAAAGCUUUCGCUUCCGUUGCUGCUUGCCCUUGUGCAAGUCUUGUAUUAUAUAUGCAAAUCUCUUGUGGAUUGCUUAUUUAUACAUGUUGUUAGAGCCUUGGGCGGACAGGGGAGGCUCUGUCCGUUCGGCGUCUGUUGACGUGACCCGAACCCGACCAAAUUGGCGGGGAUUGGGGCGUGACAGUAAGUAUUUUAUGUAGUUUAUCUCUACUCAUUGCACUAUUUGUCUCACCAUUUUCCUCUGGCUAGUGGUUUUCUAGGUAAUUGCACCCAACAGUACAGAGGUUGUGGAUCUUUCAAAAAUGACAUGUUCCUGCAAGCGUUGGGACAUUGACGGCAUCCCAUGUAAUCACGCCAUGGGAGCAAUUUCAUGUAGGCUGCGGAAUCCGUAUGAUUUUGUAGAGAACUGGUUCAAGACCUCGACUUAUCACGCAACCUACAACGAUUACGUCCCCCUUACUAGAGGCAAAGAGCAUUGGCCUGAAAUACCAAGCAACACUGUUCCGCCGCCGCCGCCAAACAUGCGCAUACAGCCGGGGAGAAGGAAGGUUGCGCGGAGAGAGUCCAUUUCUAACGGCCUGUUAAAGAAACGGUGCGGGAAUUGCCAAAGGUGGGGGCACAACAAAAGAUCAUGCAAGAACCCUCCUCUGGCCAGAACAAACCAGCCACGCGCGACGACAUCUGCAGGCGCAAUGCAGGAAACAGCGAAAAAUCCUCCGUCCAUAUUGUAAUAGUUCAAGACUCGUUGAUAAUAGUAUAACGUAGAUGAUAAUUGUUCAAGACUCUUUGAGUAAUAGUGUAAAGAGGAGGAUAACAGUUCAACAGUCUUUGUAACUAGUGUAACAAAGACCACAACAGUUCAACAGUCUUUGCUACAUUGCUUAACAGAUAUAAAAGCUUACACUACUUAGAAAUUAUAUGCGCCGAUACUUGAUGUGUUACACCAUUACAAGUAAAUUUCGAAUCAUUUAUUUAUAACAAAUGUAAUGAGAAUAUUAAUAUUUACACCGAAUGUUCAAAUGUGAGAAAAAUGACAAUAUAAAUUCAAGAAUUGUUAAUCGAAUCAUUGCAAGUAAAAGAGCAGCAAAAAUUCUGCUGCUAUCUCGCCCCGUUUCUUCGCCAUAUUCUCCUGGGAGAAGUCCAUGUUCCACCCCUUCUACAUGUAUUCUUCGUAUGUCAAAAUGAAAAUUGCGCAAUCAUUUGACUAAUCUUGCAUCGGGAUGUCUUUUAUGUUGAUCUUGCUCCUAGUCAAUGGGACGGGUCUCACGGCGGCGAAACAAAUCGGGAAGUUUAUUUUGCCAAAAAUUUUCUACGAAAUCACACUGUAUAAGAGAAUGUUGCACUAAUUAGAAAUAUAACAGGAUAAUCCUUGCACAAUAUUAAACUAUUAAAGAAAUACUUACCGCUUUUUCAAACCCAACAUUGUAUUUAGCAUUUUUAAUGGGCGAGAAGUGGAGGUACUUCCCUUCUUGGAGAUCAACUGUCAGCAAAUGCCAGUAAUCGAAGUUGAAGAGCGGGAUGGACCAAUACUUCGCUUCACUAAUUACCCCCUCGGUCAAAUCGUUCAAAAACAUGUCGGCCGCAAUUGCAGUACCUAUGGUAUGAUAAAAAAAAAUCGUGGAGUAUAUGUGUAAUAUACCGAACUUCUAUAGUCAUGAAGUUUUGGUGGAUGUUAGGAGCCAUUGGAAUCGUUCCGGCGAAGUUCGGGAGUGUUCGGGGGUUUUCGGUGCGCGUUGGGCGCGAAAACGGAGCCCGAAAGGCUAUGUUGGACCAUGGACUAAAUUCAGCAUAAGCGUGGAUGAAAAGAUGGUUUAACCACGGUCGAAAAUGUGUUUCAGGUGUCUCGGUGCUAUUUGAGGUGAAUCGGAGCCCCCAGGAGCGAGAACGAAGCAAAACGGAAAAAAGGUUGAAAAUUGGCUAAGUGCUAAAAUUACUGGGCUGGGAGGACCUAUGGGGUACGGACCCUCUGGCCAAGGUCCAGACCCCGAGAGUGAAAUCUGCCCAGUAAAGGGCUGAUGGCAGUUUUGUAAUUAGGAGGAACUUUAUAUAAAGGGGCUUCUUCUCCCCUUUCUUCUCCUUCCCAGCCAACACACACACACCCCCACACCUUCUAGUGAGAGAAACUCUCUCCCUCCCUCUAGAAUACUCUCUCCUCUCUCUAGAUCUCUCUCUCAAAUUCGGAGGGUUGGAGAGAAGGAGCUUGGGAACGCGUUGGAGGUGUCGGUUCGGGUCCUCGUGCACCCGAUUGCGCGGCAUGCGUCCGUCUCGGCAUUCACAUUUUGGUAAGUGUUGGGAUUUUAAUUAAAUCCUUCAUGAAUGAUAUUCUAGUAAUUCCUAGAGUAUAUUAUGCAUGUUACUCCAUAUAUUUUUGGGGUAUUUGGGGAUGUAUUAAGGCUAGGACUUCAAAUUGGGGGUUUUUAGUGAAUGAGGGUUUUGAUAUCAUUUAACCCUUUAAUCCUCUAAUUGAAGGUUAGAGUUGAACCCUUGAUGACCCUACAUUGCGGAUUGUUGGGCGUUCGGUGAUCGUUUGCACGUAGAGUCGAACCGGAUCACGUGUACCGCAGGAGCCUGAUUGCAAGUGACUACAAGCAAUCGGAGAGCGAUAUUAGGUAGGUUAUGCUUCACCGAAGUGAUUAAGUCACUUUCAAGCCAAAGUGAAGUAUGAAUGUUGUUGAUGCAUGUAUAGUUGGUAGGUUGUAUUUGAUAAUGUGAAUACCUAAAUCAUAUUAUGCUUGAUAUUGUUACCUACCAUGAUAUGCUAUAUGAAUGCAUGAAGUAGAGGCUAAUCAAGAAUGUAUGAGAUAGAUGCUAGUGAUGAAUGCAUAGAUAUAUGCUAAGUGAAUGCAUGAGUUAAAUGCUAGAUGCAUGUACAAGAUGUAUGCUAAAUAAAUACAUGAGCUAGAUGUAUGAGCUAGAUAUUAUAUAAAUGCAUGAUUUAGAUAUGAAUGCAUGAUUGAGAUGCUAAUAAAGAAUAUGUAAGAUAUAUGGUAGUCAAGGAUGCAUGUGAUGUAUUGACUACCAUUGAAUGAUAAAGACAUGGGCAUGAGUAAGCAAAUAGGAUAUGUAUGCCUAGAUAAGAAUGUGAACUAAGAUCAAUGAACUCUAAGUAAAGUAAAGAACUCGACGAGUGUAGCAUGUGAACUAAAAAUCCUAAAUAUAAAUAACUAGGAUGACAAAUAUUGUGAAUGGCAUUGAAACCUAGUGUUGUUGAACGUAGGUGAAUCACGAGUGGCAUUGAACCUGGAGUCAAGUAAAACUAGGUUAUGACAUGAGUGGCAUUAAACCUAGGUUAUGAAUAUAGUGACAUUGAACCUAGAGUCAAAUGAACCUAGGUAGUAAAGAACAAUGGAUCUAGUGUUAAGGAACCUCGGCUAUGAGUAUAGUGGCAUUGAACCUAAUGUAUAAAACUUAGGUUGAGUAAUGGCUUUGAGCCCGAUAGGUCGACACUAUAGGGUAUAAGACCAACCCUAGAGACAUGAAUGUGGAUUCUGGAAUCCCUAGGAAUGAAGGCUGCUAGUGCAGUAGCUGUUAGUGCAGCAGCUGCUAGUGCAGCGAAAAAGACUUGCGAUCGAGCGCAAGUGAAUCAUAACUGCGGGUAUGUGUAGUUCUCCUCGCCCGGCAGUGAUUCAACGGGUAUGUGUCGUUUUUCUCGCCCGGUAUGAGAAUGAGAUCGCGGACACGGGUUUGUGUGGUUCUCCUCCCCCAUAGGUCCGUUGAGCAACUGGUGGUUUGGGGUUCGACGGUAUAUCCUCACCCUGUGAGUAGACCUACAGUCGAGAGGAUUCAAGGCUGAGGUGCAUGUGAGACAUCCUUUGCCUCGAGCUUGACUGAGCGCGGACUAUACGCAGUUGAUUGGCUCAAGACUGAGUCGAGUGGCAUAGUUGGCUAAGGUAAAGUAACCUUAGGAAAGAAUGGCAAAUGACCAUAGUAUGACAAAGAAUAAUGAAUUGCAAGUAAUAAAGAAUGACUAAGAACCAAGAAUGGCUAAAGAUAAGGAAUGGCUAGCGUUAACAAACGGCUAGUGUUAAAGAAUGGCUAAUAAUAAUGAAUGGCAAAAUGAUGGAGAGUAGAAUCAUUUAAUCUACUUGCAUAGUUGCAUGAUUUGCAUAGUUGCAUAUUGUGAGGCAUGAACAUGAUAAUUGUUAGUUGCAUAAAUUAUAUAUCUGUGGAUAUUUGUUGGACUAACAUAUUUGCAGUGCCUCCUUUGGACCUUGUGGGUCGAGCUCUUCCCUUGGGUGGCCAUACUCACUGGGAACUAUAUUUAUAUAGUUCUCACCCCACGUGAUUUUGGGGGUUUCAGGUUUACACGCGAGCGGCGCAACGGCGAGGAAAGGGCGUAGCUCUAUAGUUAGCCCCCUACCACCAAGACCAGAGAUAGCGGUACCCUGAGUCGGCUACUUAGGGAUGUGAAAAAUGAAAAGAAUCAAGUUGUAAUAAAAAUUGUAAGAAUUGGAUCGUAUUUGGAAGUAAAAAUCUAGUUAAUGUAAUGUAAAAUGUGAAUUGAGACGAAUGCUUGUAAUAGCAUAGUUGUGUUUAUGUUUUUGAUACCUUCCUUAUGCAAUCUUUGUUGUAUGCUGUUCCUGGUUGAAACCUCGCGCAUUGUUUUGAUUGUGACGCCUUGGACGUACAGGGAAGACUCUGUCGGCGGUACAGGGGAAACCCUGUCCGUUCGGGAGUCUGUUGGCGUGCCCGAAUCCGACCAAAUAGGCGGGCUCGGGGCGUGACAAUAUGCACCUCUGGCCUUCCGCCUCCUCCAGUAUAUGCUGGUAGACGUCAAUAACAUCGGAGCUGACGAAUGCCAUGUGACUUGUUAGGUCGACGAAGUCACUCCGCCCGAUAUCAAUGUUCUUCGAAGGCACUCUUCUCGCAUUGGUGAUGCUUGUAAGGAAAAUUUUCAAUGCCCUCCUGAUCCUCCUUUGGUAACUCUUCCUUACCAUAGUAUUUUAAAUCCUGGGCCGCUGACGCUUUUGCGACCCUCAGUUUUAGUUUUUUGCCCUUUUGUGUUAUUGAUGUUUCUUCCGGGGGGAGGGGGGUGUCGAUGAUUAAUGGGGGCUAUUCACAAAUCAAUGAAAGAGUGAGACAUUCAGGAAAUUACACCAUUGCUGCACUUAUUUACACUAUUAGAAGCUAUAUCGCAUUACUUAAAUGUAUCGUUGCAAGAUUCACAAACCUCUUUAAUGCUGGGUUCCGGCAUGGCAGAUUUCGCUGUUUGUGUAGACGCCUUUCUCGCCGUCGAGUCACGCGCCAGGCGUCUCUUCGGGCGGGGCUUGUCGAUUUUUACAAUCACCUAUUCACAGGAAUUUAAAAUAGUGCAACAAAUAAGAAAAUGUUACACGAAUAGAAGACAUAUUGCAUAAAUUAAAAAGUAUCGGUGUAACAUUAACUUACACUUUUGCUGUGCAAGUCGUUUUUGUGGGAAUUGCCGAUGCCUCCGGUGCAGCCGCCGCCACCGCUGCCUCCUUUUUUCUUCUGCCGUCGCCGCCACCUCCUUUUCCUCUGCAGCCGAUGCCUCCUUUUCCUCCUCCUCGGCCGCCGUCGCCACCUCAUUUUCCUCCUCCUCCUCCGCCGCCGCCGCCGCCUUUUCCUCCGCCGUCGCUGCUGCCGCCGCCACCUCAUUUUCCUCCGGCGCUAACACCUCCUUUUCCUCCUCCUCCGCCGCCACCGCUGCCUCCUUUUUUCUUCUGCCGUCGCCGCCACCUCCUUUUCCUCUGCAGCCGAUGCCUCCUUUUCCUCCUCCUCGGCCGCCGUCGCCACCUCAUUUUCCUCCUCCUCCUCCGCCGCCGCCGCCGCCUUUUCCUCCGCCGUCGCUGCUGCCGCCGCCACCUCAUUUUCCUCCGGCGCUAACACCUCCUUUUCCUCCUCCUCCGCCGCCACCGCUGCCUCCUUUUUUUCCUCCUCUGUCGUCGCUGCCCGCCACCACCUUUUCCUCCGCCGCUGUAGUGUGCCGAGUCCUCGGUGUGCUAAAUCAAACUUUAAUCAAAUUGCCCGAAGCUUGGUAUUGGACGCUUUAGAGAGGUCUGUUGAUGUUCCGAGUGCUUCGUAAGGAUGUAUAUGGGUGUUUGGACCUUGGAGCGCAAGAUUGAAGAAAUUCCAAAUUUUUUGUAUUUGGAAUGCUCUCGUGGUCCGGACCCUGCAUGUAGGGUCCGGACCUCGUACACGACAGUUCAUGCUCCGAAACCUGUAAGGAGUUACCCUCAAGCAUGUAGAGGUUAGAGACCUGAAACUCACUGUGCAUUCGCUCAGCUUCGGCGGCAGUAUCAACCUACAGGCCACCGCACCCACACGCUCCAAAACCUUCUAGGUCCAACGUAUUGAGAACUACGCUUUCCUCGAUAACAUCCCACCCUACAUUACACAGGUAACACCCUCAAAAGGCAUCGCCUCCAUCCGCGAAUUAAAAAUUUCACGGCGCAUAAUACAUAAACUCGUCACCGUGAUCGUAUAGGGCGAACUUUUUUCUCCGCCUUCCUCAACACCUUCGGUCCCAGAGAUAUCCCUUCGCUCACCACACCUUAAUGAAUGGGGACCGACAUAACCUUCUCGUGAGAGUCUCAACUGCUCCAUCGCUAUGUAAUGUAAGGUACCGGACUUCUAAAAUUAUGAAGUUAUGGUGUACAUUUGGUUGGAAAGCUAUUUGAAUGGUUCCGGUGAGGUUCCAGUGAAGUUCGGAAGCAUUUGGGCGUUUUCGGAAUGCGUAGGCGCGAAAACGAGACCCGAAAGGCUAUAUUGGACCAUGAACUAAAUCCAGCAUUAGCGUUGAUGAAAAGACAAUGAAAACGCGCUCGAAAAUGUGUUUUGAGAGUCUCGGUUCGAUUUGAAACGAAUCGGAGACUCACGGAGCGAAAACGAGCGAAAACGGAUCAAAAUUGGUGAAAAUGCUGAAAUUUUGGCUAAGUCUGAAAAUGCUGAUUUUUUGGACCUACGGGGUCCGGACCCUAGCUUCAAGAUCCGGACCUUGAGCUCGAAAAAUGCACAGUUUGAGUGGCAUUCUUGUAAUAAAAUGGUGGGGGUUUGACUUAAGAAGGGGCUACACCCAUUCUUCUUCUUCCUUAGCUCAAAACGCACACACACACACACAAUAGAGUAGAGAGAGAAAAGCUCUCUCCUCUCUCUAGAUUUCUCUCUCUUCUCUCUUGAUCCAUCUCUCAAACUUUGGAUCUUGGAGGAAAAGGACCUCGUGAACGCGUGGGAGGCAACGGCUCGGGCUCUCGUGCGCCCGUUUGAGCGGUGUGCUUCCGUCUCGGCGUUCAGAUUUUCGUAAGUAUUUAGGAUUUGUUUAAAUCCUCUAUGCUUAGUAUUCUAAUGAUCCCUAGAGUGUUCUAGCAUGUCUCUACUAUGAGAUUUGGUGGAUUUGGCAUUAGAUGCAUAUUAGGGCUCAAAAUGGGGGUUUUGCUUUAUAGAUGGGUUUGAUCUAAAUUAACCCUCUGUAAACCUAAUUGCUAGGUGUACGAACGCGUUGGCGAAGUCGGUUCGACGAUUUGUCGAGCCGGUGCGAAGAUAUUAAAGAAACAGAGGAUUUAGCUUCGUUUCCGCCUGAAGGGCCGAGGCAGCGUCCAUAAAUCGUGAAAACGGAACUCGGGCACCGCGGCAAAUAAAUGAAGACCUUUUUUAACCGUGGCUACGAAGCGAUGCACGGUUGAUGAGCAAUUGCAGAAUCGGGCUAAACCGGAUACCGAGUGCUUCGAGCGGCCGGUUGCAAGUGACUACAAGCAAUCGGAGAGCGAAUCGAGAUGGGUUGUGUUUACCGAAGCGACUAGGUCGCCUCUAUGUCUAAGAGUCAUAUUUACUAUUGAUGCAUGCAUAUGUAGUGGUAUGUUGCAUAAGAUAAUAGAGAUGCAUGAAUCUUAUUAUGCUUGAUGUUUAAUGCCUACCAAUGAGAUUUGUAUGUUGACGCAUUGAGAAAAAUGCAUAAUGACAUAAUGCUAAUGCUAAAUGGAUGCAAGUUAACAUAUAGAGGAUUAUGUUAAUUGAAAUAUGCAUGUAGACAUCUAUAUAUUAGAUCGAGUGACAUCGAACCUAGUGUUAAUAAACAUAGGUCGAACACGAGUGGCAUCUAACCUAGUGUUAUUAAACAUAGGUUGAACAUGAAUGACAUUGAACCUAGUGUUANGAUGCAAGUUAACAUAUAGAGGAUUAUGUUAAUUGAAAUAUGCAUGUAGACAUCUAUAUAUUAGAUCGAGUGACAUCGAACCUAGUGUUAAUAAACAUAGGUCGAACACGAGUGGCAUCUAACCUAGUGUUAUUAAACAUAGGUUGAACAUGAAUGACAUUGAACCUAGUGUUAGUAAACAUAGGUUGAACAAGUGAACCUAGAGUCAAGAUCUAGGUGAGUGGCAUCGAACCUAGUGUUAAAGAACAUAGGUUGUGGAUUAAACCUAGAGUUAAAGUAAACCUAGGUUAUGUGAUAGAGGCAUGGAACCUAGAGUCAGUUGGACCUAGGAUGGAAAGGACAUCGGACCUAGAUAGGUCGAUACUAUAGGGUUUGAGACCAACCCUUGAGUUGUGAAAUGGAUUCCGGAAUUCCUAGUGUUGUGACCGCAAAAUAAGCGGUGGAACUUGUGACAGGAUACAAGAGAUGGCAUUUAGAAUCAUAACUGCGGGUAUGUGUGGUUCUCCUCGCCCGGCAGUAAUUCAACGGGUAUGUGUGGUUCUCAUCACCCAGUAUGCCAUGAGAAUAAUGAUCAAACAUGUAUGUGUGGUUCUCCUCGCUCGGUAUAAGCUAGAAUGAGUAUGUGUGGUUCUCCUCGCUCAUUUAGCUUAUUGGAUGAUGCCGUCUGGAUUGACCUGAACCAUUGCCGGGUAAGGGCGAUGCGUGCACCGCGAGAAGGCUGAGUCGUGACUUGAACCAUUGUUGGGUGAGAUGCGAUGAGUUUGCCGCCAGAUGGCUAAGUCAUGACUUGAGUCACUGCUGGGUAAGGACAACGCGUUCGCCACCAGAUGGCUAAGUCAAGAGGUGCGGUGGGCUGUGACGGCAGCCAGGCUGAGGUGCAGCCAGUGCGCGGACUAUCCGCAGAUGAUUGACUCGAGGCCGAGUCAGGUGGAUAGCUUGAUUAAGAUAGUAGAAACCUUAAAGGCUAGUGAUAGAGGUAAGAACUAAGGUAAUAUAAACGUUAGAAGCUAGUUGGACAAGAGCUAGUUAGCGUGAUAGAAGUAGAAUCGAUAGAUUUACUUCUUUGGUUGCAUUGUUACAUAAAUUGCAUAUGGAAUAGUAUUAUUGCAUUUGUGAGGCAAAGCACGAUAUAUGUUCGUUGCAUUUAAAUUAUGAUUUCAUAUCUAUCUAUUGAACUAACAUGUUGUUGCCUCCCUUGGACUACUGGUCGAGCUUUUUCCUUGGGUGGCCGUACCCACUGGGAAUCAUGAAGUUGGUUCUCAACCUACGUUGUUUUGGGGUGUUAUAGGUUCGCACGUGAGCGGCACCGUGGCGCGAGGCAAGGGCGUAACUCCAUAGAUAGCGCCCUACCCCAGAGAUCAGAGAUAGCGAUACCCCGAGUCGGCAUAGCCUAGGGGUAUAGGAAAGGGAAAAGAACACAAUAUACUAAAACUUGUAAAUAAAUGAUGUAGUAACUUGAUUGUAUUUGGAAGUCAUAAAAUAUAUUAUGCAAGUGUGAUGUAAAAAUGAAUCUAAUGGGAAUGCUUGUAAUAACAUAGGAUGUGUUAUAUUGUUUGAUACCUUCCUUAUGCAAUCAUUGUACGAAUACUGUUCCUGUUUGGAACCUCUUGUAUUGUACUAUUUGUUGAGCCUUGAACGUACAGGGGAUACUCUGUCCGCAGUACAGGGGAAACCCUGUCCGUUCGGCGCUGUCGGCAAUCCGAACCUGGCCAAAUAGGCGUGGGGCUCGGGGCGUGACAGAAUGUGGUAUCAGAGCAUAAAGUAAAGAAUGGGAAUGGUUUAGGCAGACCUAGGAGACCCUAAGAUAGUAAACCAUAGGAGAAUAAGGCUCGUGAGAGACGAGGAGUUACGACUUAUGGUGAAAGGUUAAUUGAUUGGGUUGUGUUAUAAACCUCUAAUUUGGAUAUUAGAGGUAGACUCGAGGUGUGGCUUAUUCUCAACUGAGGGUGUUCAUGUUGGGCGUACGACAACAUGAAACCGAGUGAUGAGAAUAGACGCCCUUCAUGACUUUCGCCCGAUUUGAGUCAAUGUUAAAUUAUUUUGUGCUCGACCUAGAAGGUUGAGAAUUAAUCGAGUUGUCCUGUUUCAGAAAACGAUGGCACCGCGUAGGCGACCUUUGUCUCGGUCGACGCGGGGUGGGACAGGUGAUGUCCCUAAGCAAUCCGAGGCGAGUGGAGACCCGGUGCUCCGCGAGCAGAUGAGUACUCUCAUGGGCGUAGUGCUGCGACAGGAGGAGCAUAUCAAGGAGCUCCAUGAGUUGUUGGCACGACAAGCUGUGGCGGUUGCGCCUAGCAGCACCCCGUGUACCGAUAGGAGUGGCGAUGGAUUCGGGGGCAGUGGCCCCUGGUUCUAUGGAAAUGGAGGCGGAGAAAGAGCGGGCUCUGGCGGCCCUUAUGACCUUCAAGAGGUUUGAUCCACCUGUUUUUGAUGGAGAGAAUGUCGAUCCGAGGAUUAUGGAGACGUGGAUUGACUUUAUGGAAACGCUCUUUGAGGAGCUGUACACCUUGGAGCGAGACGAGGUGCCCCUAGCCGUGCACUGUUUAAAAUUGUUGGCAGAGGUAUGGGGGAAAGGCAUUCAACGGAAUUGAUCACCUAGUCUUCCUCUAUGGCUUGGGAUGAGUUUCGGGGAUUGGUAUUUUCUACUUACUUCUCCGACAGUAAACAUGUCACGCCCCGGGACCCAGCGGAAGCCCGCCCGGCGCGUGCCCAGACCUGCCGUAUGUCUAAAAUAUACAAGGCGUCUAAAACAGAACGAUAAAAGAAAUAACGAAGCGAUAAAUAAAGCAACAAAAGGAGAAUAUCUAAAAGUAUCAGAGCAAAGUAUAUCUAGAAGCUACAAUAAGGGAAAAGAACAUAAGGCUAAAUCUACUAUGUAAAAACAUAAAGUAAUACAAUAGAAGUCCCAAAAAUAAGAGCUAAACAAGGUACAUAGGUGGUCUCUAUACAUGGUACAAAACCUUCCUCUCACAAAACACAAAGAGAGAGUAACCACCUAGGAGCAAAAGCGAGCUUCGCUAUCUGUCAAGUUAGGCGACACCCUUGCCGCGAGCGCGAUCCUGUGCCUCCGCCUGUGCCGAAGGCUCUGAAAAGGAAACAUAGAAAUAGGGGCAUGAGAACUAUUAAAUAAUAGUUCCCAGUGGGCAAUUACUGACUUCAGUGAAAUGCGCCACUAGGCCCAAAGGCUACAAAAAGGGGGUCAGUAAACAAAUAUAAGUACAACGAGUAAAUAAACAAGAAUGUUUGCUACCACAAGAUAUCACUACUUAGCAUGAUUUUGCUCAAGUAAUAAAAGGCUACACUGGCAUGAAUGUACCAAAGUAUCACUAGUAUGAUGUCCACAAGCUAAAUAGUAAAGAUGUCAUUGUUUACUAUUCUAGUCAAUGUCCACAUGGUAUGAUGAAUGCUCAAAGUCAAAUCUAAAGGAACCCGCCCGAAGGCUGUCUGGCCCUGAGACCCACCCGUAGGCUGUCUGGCCGGUGCCGAGCCUAAUGGCCCCGUGGUAGUCAACAUCCCCACCCUAGGAAUGAGCCUUUCCCACGGUAAUCCACUUCGGAGCCCAAUCCCGCAUGGCGAAUAUGUAUCGCGAUGGCCAUCUCCGGAGUGCCGGCUUAUAGGGAGCGACCCUCACAAGCAUGUGCGAAUGAGCAUAAAGGCAAGUAACCAAAAGAUCCGUCUCAAGUACCAAGUCCUCAUGUCUAACAAUAUGGAAUACGUCACAUCUCUCAUAGGCCUAUCUCUUUGUCAUCAUGUCUCUAACAUGGAAUAUAAAAGAUGUCAAUGGCCUAUCACUAAGUCUCAGAUAACAGUUUCAUAGUUUGCUAGUCCAAGUGCCCCUUUAUGACACUUUUGGUCUCUAUGUCCAAGCAUGAUAAUUAUGUUCACGAAUACAUAACUCUAAUCAUUUUCAUCGUACGAGACAAGUACCCAACUCGCAAAAAGAACCACUUCUCACAUGCAUGCUAAAAACCUAGAAUAUCCUACUACAUAGAGUGAAAAUUUCAUGAUACAUAAGGCAUGCAUUUUAAGUGUUCUAAAAUUCACAUAAAUUCUAUUUAGCAUGGAUUUGAUGUCAAAUUGAGAUUACGACAAGUACAAAAUGCAUAGGGGCCAUUUUGCCCUGUUUUCAUGAAGUCAAACCCACCACAAUUCUUGCAACUCUUCGUAAGCUCCGACGAAGAUGCCCACUAGUCUCCUAGCACCCUAAAGAUGUAGGAACAAGAGUCAAACGGACCUUACGAACAAUAUACAAGGCUCAAUCAAUAACCAUCUCAAGCUAAGGUGGAGAAAAACUCACCAAGUGUGAAGGAAGCUGUCUCGAUCUCCAAAUGGGAGUUAGAGUCCUUCAAAUCCAACCUAAACCAAGGUUAUAAACCCAUCAAUUAGGUUUCAAAGCCCUCAAAUCGAAAAUCCCCAAAAUAAACUCUAAAAUUCAAAUCUAGGGUUCCAUCUAGUAAAAAGCUCUAAAACUAGGAUUUAGAGGAGAGAAACUAGCUACAUACCUCUAGGAUGCACCAAACCAAGCUCAAAAUCCUCAAGAGUUGAAGAUUGAUCCUCCACAAAGCUCCAAGUCCAAGCUCCAAGCCUCCAAGCUAGCUCUCCUUCUACUCCUUCUUUUCCUCCUUCUUCUUCUCUUUCUAGAAAGUGUAGAGAGAGUGUGAGGGGGAGAAAUGAAGGUGAGAGGGAGAGGUAAUGGCCUAUAAGCCCUCUCAUGUAACAAAAUCCACUUAGGUCCCUCAAAAAUCCAAUCUGUGCACUGCCCGGGUUUGGGCAAUUUUCGCCCAGAGGGACCGAUCUCUCCUAGCUGGGACCGAUCCCUCAGGACCCUCCCGCAGAAUAAGCUCUCGGGAACCGGUCUCUCUCUGCGAGGGACCGGUUGCCUCAAGUCCUACCGCAACACUGUUCCGGGGGGGCCGGUCUCUCCCACCAGGGGUCGGUCCCCGAGAGUAAAAACUCUCAGGACUUAGCCAAAAUCCAGAAUUUCGAACUUUUAGGUUGGAAUACCAUUUACGACCUUCCACCAAGUGUGGAAAAGCUCAGAAUCCAUAUCAAACACUCGAACAUCACAAUUUGCAUAGGUCCAGUGUGUUACAAAACAGAGAAAGCUUCAGGACAGGUUAAGAAAGCUGCGGCAAGGAGACCGCGUAAGGGAAUACGAACGGGAGUUUUCCCGUAUCGUGAAUUGUGUCCCACCAAAUAAGUUAACUAAGUCAUUUCACUCGAAUAUGAGUUUAGCUUCCCCUGUUACACCAAUUCAAACACCCUUUAAUUCUUGGAAAGGGCCUGGUAAUCUUGCUGAGAUAGAAUUUGAUUCUCAUAAAAUAGUAGUUCUUAAAAAUUGUCCCUCGUGGUGACUACCGAGUCGGGAUAACGUGAUGACCGGCGUAAAAUUCAAUGUAUUUUUUUUUGUCCUCUUAAAAUCAAUGGAUAAAAUUUACCCGUCUAGUUCAAAAAAUUAGAGUGAGAAUUGAAGCAAUUUAGUUAUUUUUCCAUUUGAAGAGUCUUUUGAGAUGCAUCCUUCCGUGCCAUUAAUUUUUCCUUUUCUACGAAUCUUAAAGAGCUACGAUGUAAAAUCUAAUGAUAAAAGAUAGAGCCUCAUAAAUUCUCUUUCCAAAGCAAAUGCCAUGCGUUGACUGAAGCAAAGGGUAAAUUCCAGUGCCAAUAUUUCGUUCUCUUCUAUUAUAUAUCCCUUUCCUUGUGCUUGUGCGUUGUACGCAUUACCUCAAGAAGUUGUUGGCCACUUCCCAAAGUCAAUGAUGGAUCGCCGCUACAAGAACCUGCGCACCAUCUCCACCAUCUAUACACUUAUGAGAUAGCUUAGUCAACUGCACGUACGUAUUACACUCACAAAAGACAUUCCUUCGACCAUUAAAACAUCAAUAAAUUGUAAAAUAAUCGCUAUUAAUAAUUACAUGUAACUCGCACAAAGUUGAAGUUUCACAUUGACCGCUCCAAGCUAUAGUAGGGGGGAAUUAGUUUCAAAAAGGAAACAUCUUUUUCCCAGGAUUACUUAAGGAAAGAUACGGACCGUGCAGGUGAGCAAAGAAGCUUACUUUUGGGUAGACAAAAUCAAGCAUCAUUUAUUUAAUAUUAUGAUUUUUCUUGAAUUUUUGUUUUAUGGAAUUGAGUGUGCUGAUAAAUCUAUGAGAUUUGUUUUGUAGUAAAUCAAAAAAUUAGGAACUAGUUAAUUUGGCCCCAGGGGUUGUUUUUUAUUUUUUGUUGGCUAACUUAAUUUCCAUAUGAUCUGGGAAAUGAAUAUUAUCUCUAUUCUUCUAAUAAUUGGAUGUAUGGUUUGCAAAUUCUUCUUUCCCAAAAUAGAGGAAAAAAAAAAAAACGCACAGAAAAAAAAAAAAAUUGAGUUGCUUCUGAAUUUUUGGUUUUCACUGCCAUUCAGCACCAUAAUUACAUAUGCCAAGCUUUGAACAGUGCUUUUAAUAAAUGAAGGUUGAGGGUUCGGUUUGAGUGGUUGAUCAGUACUGAUUUUAUUUGCGUUCUGAUUUCAAACAUUUGCAGCUAGCGUCCAGGAUUCAUGCUAUACGACUUUCUGACUCUUGGCAGCCAACGAACGAUAAAAGCUAUUAACAUUUUGAGUCUUUGGAUUAAUUUUAUUACUUUAUCAUCGAUCCCCUCCUUCACUCGAGGCGUAUUAAUCUAGACAGGUAGAAGGAUACAUUCCGACCUCGAUCGGUUGCAAAAUUUCACACAAGUGAACUUGGGAAAAGAGAACGUUUUGAAAUUAAUGUAACUAAUUUAUUUUUCAGUCAAGAAAAAGGAUUUGCAAGCCAACAAUUCAUAACAAAAUAGAAAAGCAAAAAUACCCACCACUUGCAAGUUUUACUUACAUAGCAUGUAAAUUCAAAAAAUAUAAUACUUUUUUUUUUUUUUGAGAGAUAGAUAGCAUGCUAUCCGCUUUGUUUAUUUUAUUUAGAAAUAAAAUUAGCUGAAAAUAUGAAUCAACUAGGAUUCAUGCUUGAGACCUCGUGUACGAACUAUUUUUUGCCAAACUAUUUUUUGCCACUUGUGUAGAAACGACAGGUAAACAAUAUAUAUAUAUAUAUAUAUAUAUAUAUAUAUAUAUAUAAUACAUUAAAAAAAAGGAAAAAUAUUUUCGCAGCCAAAAUUAAAUCCUGCUCUUCACUUUUGGUAUUAGUCAAAUAAGUUGGGAGUACCCAUUAUUUAUUUGAUCACGCACUGCGGCGUGGCCUUUCGUCUCAACCAAUGCGAAAAAGGGGACACACCUCCAUGGUAUCCGUGUCUACACCGACCAUUAUUUAAUUUCUGGCCCUACCUAUUUAAGUCAAACUUAUAUUUUAAUUUAAUUAAUCCCAUCAUCACACCCGCUGGAUCCCAAACGAGCGGUGAUCCGUGAUACUCCGUGCCUUUCCAGUUACUCAGUACUCGCCCACCAGCCAUUCUACACUACUGUAGCGAAAAAUAUGCAUGUUUGAAGUCGCAUGCCCACGCCACCUCACCGCAUGCACACUCUCUCCGACUCAACAAAAACAUAAUUUAUUAAUUAUUUCAUUUAUUUAAUUUUGUAAUAAUACAAAACAGACAUAUAUGCAUGCCGAAUUCUCUCGCUAAUUAAUAUUCCCUUUUUCAUUAAUUAAUAACUACUCUUCUUCUUCUUCUUCUUCGGCUUCUUGUUUCUCUUAGACUCAAAUAAAAAACUGAUAAAAAAUGAACUGAUUCAAUUAUAUGAAGCUUUUGAUAGUACAUACGUACAUGCACAUAAUUAAUGAUCUAUAAAUUACUCACUAGAAACAAAUGAAUACAUUUCACAAGAGACUGAUCAAUUAAGAUUAGAAACCUAACCUACUGUAUUGUGUGCGCAUCUUCUAGAUCCAGCUAGCUAGCUACUUGUGCAAAGAAUGGGAUGCAGCAAUAUAUGGAGUCUGCAUGCAGUCAAUCGGAGAUAAUUAAUUAACUCGGCCAUAAAUAUGUUUGUUUACACUCUUCUUCCCCUCCUUCAAUUCAAUGCAAACAUGAAUUCAACAAUAAGGGAACAACGUCCGUCAACAAGCAUCUAGUGGUGCAACGGGUUCGGACCGGUCGGGACUAAUCUCUUCUGGACGCCGUACCGUGGAUCGAUCUCAUCGCCAUCGUCCGGAUUAGGCUUGGGCUUAACAACAGCCGGCAAACGACUGUGCCGGCCGUGAUGGUGAUGGCUGUGAUGGUGGUGGUGGUGGUGGUGGUGGUGGUGGUGGUGGUCAUUAAUACUCUGCCGUGUGGAAUGGAACGUCGACGCAUCAAAUUUGACCGUAUCUAGAAGCACUUUUCUCGGAACCAAUGUGUUGCUAGCGCUUCCAGAGUUUACAGGAUGCAGGCCCCCCUCAUGAAAGGAGAAGAAGAGCAGGGAGAGCCAAAGAAGAAGGGAGACUGCGGAUAUGACGACUACGACAGGAGAGCUCCUCAGCGGCAUGGCGGAGGAGAGAGAGGUUGGCGGUGUGUGUGUGAGAGGGUACUCAUGGGGUAUAGAGAUCUUGAGAGAGAGAGAGCUAGCUCUGGAGAGUGAGAGAGAGAGCUCUGGAGAGAGAGUUACUCUCUAGUCGAUGUACAUAUAUAUAUAUAUAUGGAUAGAAGCACCAUUAACACAAGAAGGAAUAAAAGAGGGUCUAAGGAUUAAGCUAGAACAGUAUUGGUGCUGAAAAUGUUGAAAGACAAACUAGCUAGAGAGGUGCAUUUUGCUUGAUGGGGACUCCAUAUGCGUGUUGGGCUCGGCCAUAUAGAAUAAAUAAACAAGUAAAUAAAUGUGGGAUUGAUGUGCAAUGUGUCGAGUCUUUUGGGGCCCUUAUUGUGCGGAGAGGAGGGAGCAGAGCUCCGCCUUAGUAGAGCGUAAAUAGGCAGCUAACUUGACGCUGAAGGAAGAACGGCGUUGUCCAAUACAUAUGCUUGUGGUUUCAAAUGGUCAAACCUCCAUGGGUUGGAACCGCACCUGAGCUUAAUUAAUAUAUAUAUAUAUAUAUAUAUAUAUAUAUAUAUACACCAUAUAUGAAUUAAAUUGGGACUAACUACAAACGUAUGUUGUGGGUUAGGAAGCAGAGUGGGAUUUAAGAUCUGUGGGUCGGUUGCGUCUGCGACGGAGUUUGAGCUAUUAUUAUCUUUUUUAUCGCAUAAUUGCACAGUUGGCUUCGCUCGCUCGGUCUUCUUAAUUUCAAGAUUCAACGCUAUCAAUUGCUUGCAACUGGCAUUCAUUGCUUCGCCACCAAAAAAUUACGUUUCUCACUGGGCAAAUGCAGCUCACUAUGACUUGCCUUAAUGUGGAUCUCUCUCUCUCUCUCUCUCUCUCUCUCUCUCUCUCUCUCUCUCUCUCUCUCUCUCUCUCUCUCUCUCUCUCUCUCUCUCUCUCUCUCUCUUUAUAUAUAUAUAUAUAUAUAUAUAUAUAUAUAGAGAGAGAGAGAGAGAGAGAGAGAGGUGGGUUGGAAUAAAUCGCAAGCAAACACCUCAAAAAAUAAUGAUAGUAGUCUUGUAAUUAAAAUCAAGAGUAAAUAUAAUUCUAUAUAUAUAUAUAUAUAUAUAUGUAUAUAUAGUGAGGCUACUAUGCUAUCGGAAGCACGGAGCCUUCCGUACUUCUAGUUCGUUUUCGAUGUUGCGACUUUCAAAUCGUCGAUCGGCUCCGUUAAACUUGAUUUAGAGUAUUUGAAGUACCUAGAAAAUAAAUUUUAUAAUUUUACGAUAUCAUUUGCCUAGUGAACGAAGGGGCUCAAAAUCAACGGCUGAAAAUAAAAAUCUUACAAAAUAUAAUAAUAUGACAUUGAAAUUUUAAAUCAAAGAUAUUGAUCUUGUUUUAUAUAGUAUAAAAAAUUUUCUAUCAAAAUUUCACAUGAUUUGGAUAUUUUUACACCGUUAAACUCGCAAACGGCUCACUACGGCCAUUGAAAUUUGUUGAUUUUGAGCCCAUUCGAUCACUAGGUAAAUGAUAUCGAAAAAUAAUAAAAUUUAUUUUCUAGGUACUCCAAAUACUCUAAAUCAAGUUUAACGGAGCCGAUCAACGAUUCGAAAGUCGCAACAUCGAAAACGAGCUGGAAGCACGGAAGGCUCCAUGCUUCCGAUAUGCAUAGUAGCCUCCAAAUACUCUAUAUAUAUAUAUAUAUAUAUAUAUAUAUAUAUAUAUAUGAGUUGAGCUAGAAUACUCUCGAGAGUAAACGAGCCCGUUUACUCUUGAGUUGUUUUCGAUGAUAGAGCUUCCAAAUUGACGAUCGGCUCCGUUGAACAUGAUUUAUACCACUUGAAGUGUUUAGAAAUCAAAUUUCAAAUCUUUUCGACAUCAUUUGCCUAAUGAUCAAAGGGUUUCAAAAUUUGUAAUUUUAAUGAUGGAUAAGAGACGUUUUCUCGUUUAACGGUGUAAAAAUAUCCAAAUCAAUUGAAUUUUUGUUAGAAAAUUCUUUAAACUAUUUAAAACAAGAUCUAUACUCUUGAUCUUGAUUACAAGACUCCUAUCAUCAUUUUUUAAAGAAUAUUCAUUUUCAGCCAUUCAAUUUUCUAUUCACUAGAUGGAUAUAAAACAAUAUCGAAAGUGCGUGAAAUUUGAUUUUUAGAUAGUUUAAAUGGUUUAGAUCAUAUUUAACGGAGCCGAUCGUCAAUUUGGAAGCUCUAUCAUCGAAAACAACUCGAGAGUAAACGGACUCGUUUACUCUCGAGAGUAUUUCUACACCGUUAAACUNUAUAUAUAUUAAACUUUUUCGAUAUUAGUCCAAACACAAUCUUAUACCUAGUGUGAGCUCACUUGCAUGCACUAUAGCAUAGAGAAAAAAAAAAACACAAAAUAUGAGAACCCAAAGCGAGAAAUUCGCGAGCAUUUUAGUUUCAGUUUAUAAGAAAUUUAAUAACAUGUUGUUGGAAUUAUUUAUGUCAAAUACGCGUAAAUAAGUAUUAGGAGAUUUUUGAUCAGUGUAAAAGCAAGGAAAUAGUUCUAAUACUGUUUGCCUCCCUUCUAUAAAUGAACUUGACGUCUUUUAGCUAUACAUCAAUUUAGUAGCAUCCUUUUGAAUUAUGUUUAUUAUUAUUAUUAUAUUUACUAUUAUACUAAAAUGGGCCACUAACUAUUAUUUUAAAAGAAAUGGGCCUAUAAUUCACAAGAAAAUGGCUGCGUUUCGAUUGAUCUGUUCGGGUCAGGAAAGUAAGUGGCCCAGAUCCGGCCCAUUAACCUUUCUAUAUUGUUUUGUUUUUUUACAACUCAUUAAACAAUUAAAACCAUAUAUUAUUGGCCUUCUAUAAUUAGCAUUUUACAUUCAAAAUUUUCUUACUUGAAUGAUAAGAUAAAUGGGUCAGUUAUAUUUUUAGCUCUCCAGUUCAAACUCGUGAACUGAUUUUUACUUGUGUUCAAAAUUUUAUUUUAACAAAUAGUUUUAACGUCGCUACUCCACCACUCCUUUUUUGUUUUUUUAUCCCGACAGGUGUACUAUUUUAUCCAUAUAGUUUAGUUUAUACUUCUAUGAAUGAAGCGUAUAAUAUACUAUUUCUUUUCUCAAAAUAAUUUAUUUUUUUUAACGAAAUAAAGUUGAAUGAUAAUUACGUGAUGUUUUUAAUAAAAUAAUAAAUCAGCAAACAAAAUGUAUUAUUUUGUGAAAUAUAUAUUUUCAAUACACGGUCAAAUUUGUAAGGUCGUGUCAAAAUCAUAAUCAAAUCAAAAUUUUAAAUAUAAAUAAUUUGUUUUUUUUUUAAUGGAAAAGUUUUAUCGAGCACCUCAUGUACCACGCUUAAAACUCCGCCCCUCCUCGCCGAUCACAACAUUAUAAGACACUUUGAUUACUGCUUUAUCCUUCUCCACCGCCCCCACCCUUUCCCUCCUCGACGCUAGGGUUUCCUCUAACGCUCUUCUUCUUCUUCUUCUCCACGCGAGAAAUUAGAGUUUCUCCUCCGCCAUGGAUGCGCAAAGAGCUCUUCUCGAUGAACUCAUGGGCGCAGGUAAUCAUCAAUCCCUCGCGAUCCCAGAGUUUGUUUUCCGGUUCUUCGAUCUGUUUUUCCUCACUCUUAUUGGUGAUCGUAGCGCGGAAUCUUACGGAGGAGGAGAAGAGGGGUUAUAGAGAGAUCAAAUGGGACGAUAGAGAGGUUUGCGGCGCUUUUAUGGUGCGAUUUUGCCCCCACGAUCUCUUCGUCAACACGAAGAGCGAUCUCGGUAUCCCUCUCGAGCUCCAUUUUCUUCAAUUUUUCUUUAUUUGGCUUAAGUUUUAACGAUUUAUUCAUCUCUCAGGACCUUGCCCUAAAAUCCAUGAUUUGAAGCUCAAGGAAAGGUAAAUAUUAUUUUCACAUCGUAAUAUCUCCUAAUGAUAUCAUUGAUGCAACGAUUGGUUUGCUGGAUCUUGAACCUCUACUUGUGUGUUCCUUGAUGGAAUUGUUAAAUUUAUGCCUUAUAUUUUUGGUUGGAAAUGUGAAGUUUCUGUAACUUAAUCUGCAAUUCAAGACAAUGGUUGUGGCUGGCCUGUUUCUAUUUUAUUUUCCUGUCUAUGUUUGGAUUUAAAAUGUUUUUAAAGCUAGCUGCUUUGCAUUUGUCAUGUAGGAGGGAACUUUAAUAUGAGUUACUGGCGUGCUAUGCUAAAUAAGACAAUUUGGAGUUCUCUGGAUGUUGCAUUGUUUUUCUUUUGAGGUAACUGACUAAAGCUUUUUGCAUGGAACUACUGUUAAGGGAUAGUUUAUCCCUCUUGGUUUUGUUUAUAAGUGGUCGGUGUAAUCAAAGAAACUUCAGUUCUUUGGGGAUGAAAUCCACCUGAAUGUCCGAAAUUUGUUCGAGGAAGUAAGCGUCAGCUCCUGGCAGCUUACCCUGGACUUCACAAUUUGACUGUUGAUCUAUCUUAAACUUAACGGCAUUAAUUUUUCUGGCAUUUGCCGGACAUCAUUGCUGCAGACGAUGCACCUGAAUUCAAAUUGUAUUGAAUUUUGUCUUAUGGUACUGAACAUUAUCUACGAGGUGCAUUUCCUCUAGAAUUGUUAGAGAUGAACAUGUGGUCUGGCGGUGCAUGAUGAAUGAUUGCGGCAAAUUGGAGUGGAACUUGGGAUGCUGAGGAUGGCUGAACGUCUCACAUUGUGGUUUUUUGCUCUAUGAAUAUUUGUCAAGAAUACAUUGAGUUAGUUAUACUAAAUUUGUUGUUGUAUGGAGCUUCCCCAGGAAUAAUGCCUCAUUAGUGAUAGAUGUUGAUAAGUUAUGCAAUAAAAAUGGCAUAGGACACUUGAUGGCCAUGAAGACUUUUUGAAACAAUAGGGCAAUUCAGAAUUGGUGGAGGCAGAAAGGGCAAUAUGGGGCAUACAAGACAUUUUGAGCAAUUUGUAUUGCAGGGUGGUGAAGCCAGGAUUUCAAUCUGUUUAAAAUGAAGUGUUCAAAAUGGAUUGAGGUAUUAUGGAUGGAUGCAAUGGAAUUUUCAAGCGCCCAUAGAAAUAAAGGCUUCUGUUUAUCUUGAAAAGUCAGCUUGGAGGUGGGAAGAGUUAAAACACCCUUUGAAUUUUUCUGUAUUUGAGAUGUUUCGAUUGAAGUGGGUGAUUUAAUGGCCAUGUUUUUGGAACAAUGAACCUACACUUAUUCGGAUGAAUGAAGAUCUUAGCAAAUUUGUAGAUGAGCAGUUAAAACACGUUUAGCAUCUUAGCUCUUUUGUAUUUUAAGUGGAUAUUUUUAAUGUAAAGUAUUCUGAGUCAGAGGUUAAAUGUAAAGACAUAUUCAUACAUGCAUUUUGUAAUGUGUUGUUCCUGCUUUUCAAAUUCAUACCCGUCCUUUGGCAUCAUCACCAUUAAUGAUAUCAUACUGCUCUCUCCUAAUUGCCAUUUUUUAACCAGAUUUUUGAUAAAUUGCAGUUUUGAGAAGUCCCCUAGACAUGAUAUGUACGUCCCAAGAUUCGAAGCAGAUCUCGCCCAAUUUUGUGAGAGACUGGUAAUCUUAGCACUCAAAUCACUUACUCGUGCACAUGAAUUUCUUUUUAAUUGUUCUAUGCUCCUUAUUGUAGGUGACAGACUUGGACAGGAAAGUCAGGCGUGGUCGUGAACGGCUAGCCCAAGAUGUAGAAGUAACGCCUCCUGCAAUCCCAGCUGAGAAAUCGGAGCAGCUCUUGGUGCUAGAAGAAAAAAUCAAGAAACUAUUGGAGCAAGUUGAGACACUUGGUGAAGCUGGAAAAGUUGAUGAAGCUGAGGCUCUUAUGAGGAAGGUAUUGCACAAAGCGCCCAAUUUAGGUAAAGUUUCUUUAGCUUAUCAAUUGAUAUUUAAAAGUGACGGACCUCUUUUGCAGGUGGAUAUGCUAAACGCUGAGAAGACAGCGUUAACCCUGCAAUCAAAUGACAAAACGAUGAUUCUUCCCCAGGAGAAGAAGAUGGCACUUUGUGAGAUAUGUGGCUCCUUUCUAGUGGCUAACGAUGCGGCUGAGAGGACACAAUCUCAUGUAACUGGAAAACAGCAUAUUGGUUAUGGAAUGGUGAGAGAUUUUCUGAAUGAGUUUAAGGUAAGGUUUUUAUAUUGAUUUUCUUCUUUUUUUUAGGGUGAAGACAUUCUGUUAUUUUUGUUAAGAGGAAAGUGAUUGUAUUCUGGUUACCUCUUCAGGCUGCAAAGGAGAAGGCGAGAGAAGAAGAGAGGCUGACAAAGGAGAAAGAGAUGGAAGAACGAAGAAAGAGGAAAGAAAAGGAAUAUGAGAACAGAGGUACAGAAAGGUCUGGAGAGCGUGAUCGUGAGCAUGACCGUUACAAAGACCGAGGUUCUGAGAGAGAAAGUUCUCGAGAACGGAGCGGAACAGGAGGCAGGGAUGGUGGGAGGGGGUCAGAUUAUAGGCAUGAUUAUAACAGAAAUGGCAGAGAUUCCAGGAGGGAGAGAUACAGAAACCGCAGUGAAGAUGUGCCACGGGAUAGAGUCCGCGAAAGGAGCAGAUCCCGCUCUCCAAUCAGGCAUGGUUAUAGGAGGUAAUCAGAAAAGCUCAAUUCAGCGGCAUUAACUCAUAUGCAUAAAUAGUUAUUUCAGUUCUCAGAUUGAAAGUGGUAGACCAUUUCUUCUAUCCCUUACUGCUAUGUAAUGUGCUUGGAUUAAGUCUGUUGCUGUUUAACAGCUACGUUGAAAUCACAUGGUCUUCUUAUUAGAGGGAAAACGUUUUCAGGUAGGUAUAAUCUGUCCUCUCUACAUUGGAAGUUUUGAGUUGAUUUAUGCUGUGGCUCCAUAUAAAUGCAUGUUUGGGCUGUUUUGUUGCCUUUAUCUUAGUUAUGAUGGCAGUUCAAUCUGGUUAACAUGAAUUAUGAAUUACCGAGGAAGGUGUCUGUUGAUCAGCUUAUCGAAGGUAACAUGUGUUAUAUAGUCGUUCGAUUUUUUUGUUGCUGCCAACCUUCCAGGCAAGUAUUCAUCUAAGCCUAUGAUUUUCAAGUAAUCUUAGCACAAAAAAAUAGUUUUCAAGUAAUCAUAUGCUUAAGAAGCAUUCCGAGGGCUUAAAGGAGAAUCAUGAAAUUGUUAAACGGCACAUAUAAGCAUCUAGUCCUUGUUUCUUGGUGUUUCUUGGUGUAGAGAGAAACUAGACCUUUGAAAAAUAACUUACACAAAUUGUUUUAGAUGUUGUCAAGCCAUUACUUGGUUUUCUUUUGGAUGGCAGUUCAUAGCUCAGAAAAAGUCAGUCUUGCAAUUGGAAGUAUGAAUAAUUUGAAUUCUUUGCCGUACUUUUUGAACACUUUAUGUAGCUUCAGCAUUUAUUUUCUUUGGUUGCUGGUUUAGGCACACAUAUAUUGAAGCCCUUGACUUUGCAGAGCUAUGGUACAAAAACAGAAGCUACGCCGUACGCGGCUUCAAGUUUUUUGCUGAUUUAGGAUUAAUUGUAUCUUGUCACAACCUUGAUAACGACUAUAUAUGUGAUGCAAAUUUUAUUGUUGAUGCAAAUUUUAGUGCUGAGUAUCAUGUCAGUUGAUAAUAGCCGUAGCAUGUUGGCUAAAUGAAGAUUCGGCAACUAUCGGUUCGUGAAUUCUUGUUUGAGCAGCAUUCUUUCUAGCUAGCUAACCGAAUAACAAUGAAGUUUCUAAUCCCUUGCAUCUUGAACCCUAACUGCAUUUUGAAAUAGGAAUUGCAUCAUUUAAGUUAUCAAGUAAAUGCUUCUGCAACUCAAUGCUACAGAAUCAGAAAUUUGAGCAAAAGCAUUUGGAAAGUGUGGUACUUGAACCGGAUGUGGGUGGCCAGUUCUGGUUCCUUCUGUGGAUUUUUUAUUUUUAUUUUAAUUACAUGCUUCUAGAUUGAAAAAAUAACCAAUAUGGUAAACACGAACGUUUCCAGAGUCGUGCAGUUACAGGCAUAAACAUUUAAAAUAUUUGAACAUACACUGCAUGCCAAUUUGAGGAUUUGGUCACCUGCAUAUUAAUUAGCUGGCUAUAUAGCUGGUCAAUUGGAAGGCAAAGCGUUUGCGGUUUUUCCAGGACUCAUUGCCACCUUUGCUUACAGUGGAGGGCAACUGGUUGUAACACAUUACACAAUCAGCAAAUUAACAUGUACACGUAAAAUGGCACAUAAACAUGCCUGCAAUUGUUGACAAUCACAAACAGUAAUCUCCCACACUCAUAGAAGAAAACUAGGAGAGCUUGAUAUUUAAAUUUAAAUAAAUGAAGAAGGGCAAAAAGCAUUACGACAGUUUCUAUCAUUCUAUCUACAGAUCAUGUAUCACAAUGCAACUUUUCUAAGCAUCCAAUUUAUUACAUUAAGCCAUAUGGAUUCGCAUGCAAGCGAUGACCUACGAAGCUCUUUGCAGGCUUUGCAGAGCCCACAAAAAAUCAGAAAACUUGUGCCCCUAGUAGAUGGGGCUCGGAUACUCAUUGGUCUCCUCAAGGUGCUGAAUAUCGGCUGACUUAUCAGACAGAAUCCUGUAAGUUGCACCCUGCAUUUGCAUCCAAAAGAUAAAAAUUGUGUGCAACUCUUAAGACUAGAAGACCUAGUUAUUAAGGUGCCUACUUAAGCCUACAUAAGAGCGAGAAGAGCAUGAUAAAAGCUUAACCAACUUUGAACUGGUUCUCAUAUGUUUCAUUCGAAUUCUGUAUCAGUUUUAAAGAUAAAUCUAUAAGCAUACAUCAGCUACAAAGAGAAACAUGUUCAGCAAAAACAACCUGCUAUAAUAAGUUCGACGGGCUUGUCAAGAACAACUCCUUUUCUCAAUCACUAAUUAUAUUUUGAGCGAGCAACAUUUAGGCAUCCUAUCCUCUAUGAAGAAUAAAUGAGCAAGUUUAGUUCAUAAGUGACACCUACGAACCUUGGUCGAAUUUUUCUAGAAAGAUUUUACUCUCACCCACUCAUCCACCACCUGAGAUAAUUCUAAAAUUUAUAUAGGGACAUUACGAGAUUGCAGAACAAACUUAUCAUAAAAAUCACCAAAAACUAUAACGGCUUGUUAGAUCUUCAAGAGGAUCAAUCCCUACGCUUAGCUUCUUCGACAAACAUGGCAAGAAUUUGAAACAUCAAUAGCUACACAUGUACAGAAGCAGAUGAAGGCAAGUUUAGCUAACAAUUUCAUCUUGCAACCAAUUGCAAUUCUGAAAGAUCCCAGUAUGGAAUUGCCUACGAAGUCGCAGCAUUAUAUAGAGUGUUUCAAAGCAGAAUACUUUGUACUAACAACAAAAUAAUACAACUUCUUCAUUCAAUAAUAUGUAUGUAGUAUCUAAGGAAAAAGAAGAUGAUACCAUCAGAUUGAUCUUCUAGGCAAUCUCCUCCCAGCUCAAUGGAUUGCCAAAUUAAGUAGCUCGCCUGAAGAGGAAAGACCAAUAUUUAUCAUCACAAUUAAUAAUUAAGAACAAAAAGAGGAAAAAGAAAAAAAAGGGACUAUCUACUACCUAGAUAAUCUCCGAUCGCCUCUCUGUUUACCCAUGGAUGCAAGAAUCGCCCGCUCCCGCCCCUUCUCCUGCUUCUCCCGCUUCAUCCGCUCCUCCCUCAACUCCUCUAUCGACUUCUUUCCCCCACUCUUCUUCGCUGAUCCGGCUCCGCCAUUGGAAGAACCGGACCCCUUCGCACCCUCGUCUAGGGCAUCCUCGGCCGACGCCGAUGGUUUCCUGAGGUACCACGGCGCCUUCACGCCCUUCCCGGCGACUCCAUACCCUAGCCGAUACUUCUCGUCCUCGGGGGCCACCACCUUUGGGGGCUCCUGCUCCUUCCGCCGCCGCUUAGGGUUCCUGGAGCCCCCGUCGCCCCCCUCCUCGCCUCUCAGCGGCCUCUUGCCCUCGUCCUGGCCGGCGAGGGAGGCGAAGUCCGGGACGCCGUCGAAGAGGUUGAUGUGCCGCGAAUCGGAGGGCGGCGCCGCCUCCUCCGGCGUAGCGGCGGCGGCGGCGGCGGAGGAGGAGGUGGCGGUGGCGGCGGCGAGGCCGCGGGCUUGGCGGAGGCGCUCGAGGCGGAACUCGGCGUCGCGGCGGCGGGAUUGCUCGCGCUUGAGCUGCUCCUCCCGCGCGGCGGCCUCCUCGUCGCGGCGCACCUUCUCGCGGUUCUCGUAGUUGUAGACGUUCCACCGCUUCUGAGGCAGGAUGUUGAGCCCCCCGUGCCCCCCCAUCUCCCCGAUCUCACCUCUUUAGGGCUAGGGUUUUGUGGGGAUCGAUCGAUCUAGGGUUUCGAGGGGCGGUGAUUGGGAAAUCUCAACAGAGGCGUUCGCUAGAGGUUGGGGACGAAGGGGGAGAACUUUAUUUGCGGAUGAGCGUAUACAAUAAUAUACGCACGCAAGAAUAGCGAAUCAGUUGUGCGUACAAAUACGGAAGGUCGCAUGUAUUCUUUUAUGCGGAGACGACUCAAGUGACGUGGCGAUUCGGAUUCCAAGUUAUACGCGGACAAAAAUUCUAUGGGCAGCGUGCCCAAACUAAUUAGUUUGGGCACGCUGCCGGAUGGGCGCCGCGUGGCACAGGUGCCACGCGGCGCCCAUCCAUCACUGCUCUCCCAGUAAUGGGGAGAGCACUGGAACUUUCUGGGUGCACCUGGUGCAUCUAUACCAGGUGCACCAUAAUUGUAAUUUUUUAAAUUUUUUAAAAUUGUAACUUAAUAUGUUAGCAUAUAUGUUAUGAUUUAAAAUUUAUAUGGUCUAUAAUUCAUGAUUAUCGAUUUAGAAAAUUAAAAUUUUAAAAUAAAUUUAUUUUUGGUUUCAUGGAAUAGCAUGGAUAAUUUUUAUUAUUCCUAAUUUUUUUUCAAAACCAAAUAGAAUUUAAAAUUUUAAUUUCUACAAUGAUAACUAGUAAAAAAAAAUAAAUAAAUUAUUACAUAAAAUUAUAAUUUUAAAAACUAAAAAUUUAAAAUUAUAAUUAUGGUGCACCUGGUAUAGAUGCACCAGGUGCACCCAGAAAGUUCCAGUGCUCUCUCCAUUACUGGGAGAGCAGUGGUGGAUGGGCGCCGCGUGGCACCUGUGCCAUGCGGCGCCCACCCGGCAGCGUGCCCAAACUAAUUAGUUUGGGCACGCUGCCCAUAGAAUUUUUGUCCGUUAUACGCACCGACUCGGUAAGGAAUUAGAGUUUUUAUUAGGGUUUUUUUAAGGGUUUGCUCGAUCUCUCUCUCUCUCUCUCUCUCUCUCUCUCUCUCCUUCCUUUGUCGGAGCUUCUUCUCUAUUUAUUAUUCUCUUCGUCUUUCUCACUGCGUCUUUGAGCUCGAGAAAAAAGAAAUGGAGAGGUUAAAAUCUCUUAUCCCGAACGAUCUCAAGCACGCGAUCGGCGAGAGCACCACUGAGAAGCUCGCGCUCACGUGCUCUUCGCUUCUCCAUUUCCUACGCCCUUUACCUCUUUUUCACCAAGUAAUUCCAUCUAUCGAGCCUUUUCUUGUUUAAUUUCGGUUUCGUUUUCUUUCUCUGGUGGAGUAAUCGAUUAGGGCUACGGAAUUUCGUAGGUUAUCGAGGAAUUAACAGGUUCGGAAAUGGCAUUGUGUCGGAAGAGCCAAAAAGCAGCUCUUGAUUUGAAGCUAGAAGGGAAUAGGUACUUCUCAAAAGGAGAGUUUCAUCAAGCUCUGAGCUUUUAUUCUCAGGUUGCGAUCCUAUCCUCUCUUUUUUUUUCCUUUUUUUUUGUUUCUUUUUAUGAUUUUGAUUCUUGAAAUAUAAUUUUGGCGAUAUGAGUCGAGAAAUUAGCUGUUUUACUAUGAGGAACUCAAGAUUCUGUGAAAUUAUUUAUUCUAUUAUUAGAUUGGAACGGUUGAAGCACCUGAUUCCUUGUGAUUCAUUAUUUCUCAUAAAUUGCUUGUUUUUUCUACUCAUUAUAUGGUUACCGCUGAUAUAAGCAAUUUUAUAAAAUUCUUGUGCUCUGUUUAAAUAGGCUUUACGACAACUGCCCAUGAGUUUUGAUGACAUAGAUGUGAAGUUGGGUGCAACACUAUAUGUUAACCGGGCCGCUGCUAUGCAUGUAAGUCUUUAUUACUGGGCUUUGCCUCUUAAAUGGUAAAUCAUGGGUGUUAAACACUUAAACUAGAGCCACAAAAUUAGGACAAGCAUUGGACUAGCUCAUCCAUCUCUUUUGCAGUCCAAUGAGAUACAAAGAGGGUAUCUCCAACUGCUGAGAUCUGACGGCAAAAGUUGCAAGCCAUUUGAGCAUGCAUGCAAGUUCUCAUGAUAAUUAAAUACAAAGAGAAUAGGGAGAAAAUUACAGACGCUAAGAGAUUGAGAUAAAUUCUUGUCACAUUCUGUAGCAUCUUAAUUUAUAAUGUCUCAUCACACCGUUUCUAUGUUACUAAUGUUUUGUUCUACUUGUAAUUUAAUUCUCUUCUGUUUUCGCAGAAAUUAGGUCUUUUUGAAGAGUGCCUGCGGGAUUGCAACAGGGCCAUUGGACUUUUGCCCAGUUAUGUGAAGGUAAGAGGGUAAGCAACUAGACUACACAUACUAAAAUUGCAAAAGUUUUACACAUUUGAUUUCUUUUUUUCUUCUAUUAUGUUUGAUGAAGUAGUUGUCAUCAAGACAUUAUGUGGUAACAAGAGACAUCACUGUUUAUUUGACUAAGAUGAUAGUAUAGUGAAGUCCUUUUCUCAUUUAUCAUCAUUUUGGCUGACAUUGUUACUAUCCUUAGGACUUGUCAGAUAUGUGUGCAGGUUUUUAUUGGCCCAUUUUCCUUUAAUUGCAGGCAUGGUAUAGGAGAGGAAAGGUAAAUGCUUCUUUAAGAAACUAUGUUGCUUCCGUAAGUGAUUUAGAGGUUGCGUUGAGUAUGGAAAGCAGCACCUCUGGCAAAAGCAUCAUACAAGAAGAGUUGAAGAUGGUAACAGGCAAACAUGAUGGCACAAAUGGAGCUCGCAUACCGAACAAUAGUGACACAGAAAAGGAAUUGACAUCUUUAGGUCUGCAUUUUUCAGAUAUCUUGAAAUAUUCUUUCUUAUAUUUUUAUCAAUUUUGAUCAGAUGUUUGCCUAGUUUACCAAACGCAUGAAUCAUAUUGUCAUUUCCAACCCUCUUUUUAAGCUGUGUUCUAAAUGCUUUUCUGUCACAACUCAUUUCUGGAAAACAGCACAUGAUAGAAUUAAGUAACAUAGAAUGUUUAGAAGGAGAUAGAUUGCAGCUAGUUCAGUUUGUCAGCUCAUGGAGACCAAAUAAGAGAUAAUUCAUGAAAAGGAUAAACAUAUUGGAGUCAAUAUUUCUUAAUUUAUUUGCAAUUAGUAGCUUCACCUUGUUACACAUGCCAUUCUGCUUGUCAUGUCUAUAUUUUAUCAUGAGUGAAACUUGCAGCAUGGAUUUUUUUUUUUUUCAAGCAACUGACUAUUUAAAUAUUCCUAUAUAUGUUCAUGGGACUGAUGUUGUUUGGCCUUGUGACAGCUGACUCGCAUCCUGUAGUACUACAAUGUGUCUCAACUCCCGCUAAAGGCAAAGGAAUGGCUUCUCCAAAAGACAUUCCUCCAGCUUCUUUGCUUCAUACUGAAGAACCACUUGCUGCGGUACAAUAAAGAUAUCUCCUAAGCUAUUAAAAUAAUUCCUUCAUUUAUCCUCUAUAAUCUGAUGCCUGUGUGACCUCACUAUUGUCUCGGUGGGAAGUGAUACCUUGCAUUUCCUCUAGUUGGAAGCAUUUUGCAGUGCUUUAACACAUUUUAAGCUUUUAGAGAAAUUCUUUGUUGCGCAUCGUGUUAGAGUAGGAAGUGCUAAGUUCAAAUCCAGCCUAGUAGGCGCAAUUUAUAUUGAAGAGAAAGACUUCUAUCUAUUUAAUUCAAAGCUGUGUCGUGGGUCUAUUCGCACGCCCAGACCAAAGGACUAUUGCUUAGACCAUAUUGAAAAGCUAUUCUCUUGCUGCUUAAGUUUUACAGAAAUCAGUUGUUCCAUACUUGUAUACGCUUAUUUUUCUUGAUCAUGUGCAGGUUGUGAUGAAAUCAUGCCGGGAGACUCAUUGCCAUUUUUGCUUCAAUGAAGUUCCUGCAGAUGUUUUAUUCUGUUCAUCAUGUACAAUACCAAUUUACUGUUCACAGAAGUGCCAAGAACAAGCUGGAGGAGAACAAUUUUGUUGGAACCGAGCUUUUUGUCCUGCUCAAAACAAUUUUUCUCCAGAUCUUGCAAAGCAUAUUACGGAUGUUACGAGUGCAAAUUAUACCAAAAAUAUUGAAAAUGAUAAACACUUCGAGCACAUUCCUGAACACAGACAUGAAUGUGGAGGCACAAAUUGGCCCGCUGUUUUUCCCCCUGACAUAGUUUUGGCCGGUCGAGUAGUGGCAAAUAGUAUGGAAAAAAGAAGAUUAGCCGGGAAGAUCUCUGUUCCUAUGGAAAAUUUUGUGAGUUCAUGUUUCUCUUGAGUCUUGACUACAUAUCUUUUCCUAUUCUCAACAUUUAUGAAAGAGUUCCUUGCUAAAUCAGUUGAGUUCUUGGUUGACAGGAUUUUGCUCACCACUAUGAUAAAAUCCCUCCAGAUAGCAAGUUGGAGUUUCAUAUGUAUGCAAUUGUCUUGUCAUUCUGUCUCCAGACCUAUUAUAGCAUGGAUUUUCCAUGCACUGAGUCUACAGUAUCGCAGGUAUUCAUUAAUUUUCUUUUCAAAAUUCCCUGUUAUUUAGUAAGAACGUAGAAUGAUGGAUCAAAUUUAGCCAUAGAAUCAGUGCUCAUUUCAAUUUAUUAUAACACUUAAGUAGUUGUAGAGUUAUAUUGGCAUGCAAAAUAUUGUGACACCAGAAUGUCUAUUGAAAUGUAUUGCUUCUCCAUGACUUGUGAAAUAGACUAGGUUUAGAUGUUACAGCCUGUGUCCUGAACAACCCGUGUCAGAGUUUGUGUUUUAUCGAAAUUUUGGAGGUUUGGUGCUUAUUUAUGGUAAGAACAGACUUUCAAAAUUUUGUUGUUAGCUCUGUUAGAAUGCAUGAAUAUAUUGCCUUUUAUUAGUACAAAAGAGGGUAGAGAUCAGAUUAGUUCCGUUGAUAUAGUCUCUUUACUUUCUUCUGGAAUGAGCUCUGUGAUUUGAUUUGCCAUUUAUCCCUAGUGAGUACAGAUAUUGAGUGCAUAUUUCUGUCUGGACAACCUGUCUGAGUUCCUACAUAACACCAUAAAUUGUUGGUGUGGAUUGAGAAAGUGUUCUAACAUAAAACCAAUAACUACAAUUUAAAUAAUAAGACCCUGAAGUCUUUAUAAGCCUGCAAUUGAUAAGCUUGCAAUCGAUGGUAAACAAUCAAGAAUUUUGAGUUUGCAUCCCUGUCUAGUCCUGGAACGUCUUUCAAACUAUAUCAGGUCUGGUCAUAUGAACACCUGCAUACUGUCAAGACAGGUCAAAUCCUCAGAUUAUGAGGUCUAAUGUCUUGCCUAAAUAGGGGUACAGAAAACCUGUAUUACUAUUUGCCUUUUUUAAGUGUUUAUGCUGAUAGCCACGUACUCCCUUUUUUCUCUCAUUUGAAAGGGACAAAAUGUUGGAUGUUAAAUUUUCUGCUAGUUUUAUUUUAUCAAAUUACUGUCCUUACUGUUCAUACUGUUCAUCUCUUUUACAGUUGGUUCUGCUAAUAUGCCAAAUUAAGGUCAACUCGAUGGCUAUUAUCCACAUAAAAUCUACAGACGAAGCUGAGAAGUUUAAGAAGGGUCAAAAACUUUCUGCAGUUAAUAAUGUGCUUAGUAGCAUAGAGCAGGUUAGCUUGAAAAUUUCACGCUCGUUGCUAUUAUUUUAACCUACGCAAUUUCUUAGUGCAGCUAUCUGUUUAGACUGAAGAACUACUCAUUGAUGGAAAAUAUCUAGAUAUGUUCACCUUAUUACUCGUAGCAAUGAAAGACACCCAAAUCUUUAUUUUUGCAUUAGAAUCCAACUCAUGCAGCUCAUGACAUAUUUUUCAGUCGUUACAUGACCCUAAUACUUUUGGUCCCAUUUCUCCUUCCUUCCAGGUUAGGGUUGGCCAAGCUAUUUAUCUCACUGGCAGUUUGUUUAAUCAUUCAUGCCAGCCAAAUGUUCACGCUUAUUUUCUUUCACGUACCCUCUUUCUGCGUUCAACAGAAUUUGUACCUGCGUGGUCUCCACUUGAGCUAUCAUAUGGUCCUCAGGUAAUAUGUAAAUUCUCCUCUGUUUCUAUAUUAAAGUCUGACCGCUUCAACCUCCCUCUUCACUUUCUUGCUUAUAUGUUUCUUUUGUAGGUCGGCCAGAUGGAUCUCCUGGAGAGACAGAAAUCACUCGAAGAGCAGUACUAUUUUACAUGCCAGUGUUUAAGUUGUUCAGAGUUGAACCUCUCAGACCUUGUCAUUAAUGCAUUUCGGUGUCCCAAGCGUAACUGUCUCGGUGCAGUGGUAGAAACUGCUUAUCAAAAACCACAACAUGAAAAUUUUGUUCAACUAUCUGCAAAAUCUCAUGUUUGCAGACUCUCAUUGCGAGUAUUCUACUUACCCUUUUAAAACAAUUCCAAUCUCAUGUAGUCUUAGCUCUUAAUGAAUAGUUCUUUUGAUGAUUUUCUAUUCUCUUUAAGAGUCUUGCAUCUCGCUAGGAUUCUGUGAGUGACAAAGAAAUUCAGAAGGUGGCCCACAAAUUGCUCGAAAAAUCUGGUGCCUUCUCCCAUGUUGGUCCUGCAUAUUGCUUGAGUUGUGGCUCACGCAUCGAUUUAGAUUCUGCCAUUGCUACGUCCAACAAUGCUUUGUUAAGUAUCAAAAGGUAUGCUUUUCUAGAUCAUCCAAAGUUGACCUUUCUGUUGGUAGAUGUGAAGAUCUUUAUAGAUACAUUCACAGGUUAAAGGAUUCUAUAAUCCUGAAUGAUGGUAUUGGAAUCUCAAAUGCAUUGCAUUUGCUUGAUCUCCUUAAAUCAGUUAGGCAUCCAUAUAGCAAGCUUGUUGCUCAGGUAAGUUUUUUUUACCAUGUUAAUCUCUUAUUAUCAAAUUAAUGCAGAAUUGUGGGCGAUUUUGUUGUCGCUAUUUAGUUUUGAACUUUUUAUUGUGUUCAUUGAGGUUUUAUGACAUCAGCAACAGUGUACGAAUUUUAGUAGUUAAUGAGUGUAAUGUAUAGGAUGUAAUUACCGGCGAUGAGAACUGAUACUGUGGGAAGGUAUUGAAGGCUUUUAAGUAUGUUCUUCAAUAAAUGUAUUGCAAUAAUGCAGGCUGAAGACUAUAUAGCAGAGGCCUUUGUUAAGAUUGGAAAUCUAGAACCUGCAACAAAGCACUGCAACGCUUCGAUCAAGGUAUUAUAUUUCUUAAAUCACUUAACAUGGUAGUAAAUUUUCCUAGUAGUAUUCCAGUUCCAGCACCUUGAGAUGAACAUCAAUGAUAUUUCCAUGUUGGAUGAUAAAGUCAGAAGCUAAUGUUAGUUACAAGGUGAGCUAGUUUAUCUAUUAACUGAUAUUCCUUAUAUAGUGUGAUCUACAUUAGCCUUGAAUAUCUAAUUUUCAGCCGUUAAUUUAAAAAAACUGUACUGCUUGCUGGGAUAUUGUUUGUCUUUCUAAUUUAAUAAUAUUGAAGUGAAUGGCUGCAAUAAAAUUAAGAACAAAAACAAGUAGCGUAAGGAUCAAUAGAAAAAGAUGGAUCCAUCUACUUAUAUAUGGAACUCUGGGUUUGAAAUAUGUGACUGUUAUUGUUAAGUAUGCAAAAAAUGACAGCAAAAGAUCUGAUGCAUAAUGUUAUUAUCUUACUAGCUUUACAUAUAAAUCCAAUGUCAUAUUGCUUUGUUGUCAUGCAAUAAAUUAUAAUUCGAAAUAUGGCAUGUGGAGACAUAGUGUGUUUUGCGCUCUCAAUUUUGGUUAUGUGAGCACUUUGAAGGCUAGGUAACAUUGUCUAGAUCAUUUUACAGCUGACAUCAAUAGUGUAAAGCUAUAAGCAUGCAAAACUAGUUCUUUAUGUUGUGAGCUGUCGUCUUUGCCUGGUUUUCUUUUCUGAUGAGACUUCCAUGCUUGCUCGUCACUGCCAUCUCGGAGCAGUUCUUUAAGUCCUUUCUGCCAAUUAUUAUAUGCAGAAUCAAGAAAAUUAAUGUGUGAAAUUAUAUGUUAAAUUUGAGUAUAAAAUACUCUAUAUCUUUUAUUAAGCGCUUUCUAAUUGAGCAUCUUAACUUAUCAUCUAACAGAUCCUUGAAAAGCUUUACCAUGCCAAGCACAUUGUCGUCGGACAUGAGUUAAUCAAGCUUGCAACUAUUCAGCUGCACUUAGGUGAUGGCACCGGCGCUACAGAUAGCAUAAAGCAAGUCGAGGUGAUAUUUUCACUUCAUUAUGGGCCUGACGUGAACAAAAUAUUUCCAUAUAUUGGUAUCCUGAAAGAAGAUGCCGUUAGCAUUGCUUCACGUUUGUCAGUAUGAGCCAUUCAACUCAAAUCUACUUCCCUUCCGUGGUCCAACAAGUUCAAUUUGAUGAGAUCUGGGUUUGAUUUGAUCUGAAUUGUUGGCUACCAUAUAAUUUUUAACAUGAUUCCCUCAUUAGUUAAUUCAUUGAUUUAUCAAUUAUCAAAAGAAUUACAUGAAAACUAAGCCAAGCCAAAUCAACAAGCGAUGGGUACGACUACAAAGGAUUUGUUCUCAAGCUAACAAGGUAGAUGUCAUAGUUUGUGAGACUGACAUAAAUUUGGCUCAUCAAUCAGAAGUAAAAGACAACAGUGGCAUACAAAUUGACAAAUUGAAUGUACAGUGGGGGCUCACAGAUUGAAUGUACAAUGUGGAGGCUCAUGAAGCUGUUGAUACUACAAGCUCGGCCCACGCUAACGGAGUAUCUUUAAGAACUGCUGCUGGCAAUGUCUCGAUAGCAGCUUCCAACACAGCAGUUAUAAUCUGCAUGGAUGGCCUCUUAGUCGGUUCAUGUUCGAGGCAGAGGCUUACUGCAUUGCAGAUUACGGACAGUGUUUCAGGCUUGACAUUUUUAAGUUCCGGGUCAACCAGCUUACUGGUAUCUUGUGGAUCGCCCAAAUAUUGUAGAGCCUGAAACCAACGAUAUAAACCAAUGUUCAGCAGAUUUAUGUAAGUUAAUGUACAUGCAUCUUAACAUACAAAUAUAUACCAAAAAAAAAUUUGCUUUUAAGUUUGUUUUGACUAAAUAUGACAAGGAUACGAAAAGUUUGAUAAGAACUCAUGACGUCUGAACUCUUAAUUGUGAGGAAUUGAAAGAUCUUCAAAAAACUUUCAACUCCUUACAGAUCUACUGCAUACUUUUUGCAGCCUAAAUUUACUGCUGCUAAAAAAGAAAAUGCAAGCCUCUUUUACCAACGUUUGAGUUCUAAAGAUAAUGCAAGCCUAUUUUUUCUUUUAAUAGAUAAGAUGAAACACCCCAGCGAAGGAUAAAACGACUUUAGAAGCAUAAUAUUUCAUUUUGAAAUAUCAGGUUCGCGAGCAGAAGCUGCAGGAUGCCGAAUAUACUAGUUAUUUACUAACUGAUGUAGCAUAGGUAAUUAUUCACUGCAAGGAUUCCAUUGCAAUGAUAGCAACUAGUCCCUAACUAUAAGUUAAGAGUCAAUUUGACAUCAGUAGAAAACAGUAUUCAGCUAACAGUUUUGUUUAUGGUUCACGAUGAAAAGAAAUCACUUACCCAGUCCACCAAGCAACCUCGCUCCUUGCAAAAUGCAGGUCUCCCACUAAUCAGCUCCAAAAGAAUAACUCCGAAUGCAAAUGUGUUAGCCUGGACAUCCAUAUAUCUCCUUUGACGAGAAUCAAUAUAGCUGUGAAAUAAACCUCCAUUGACAACACAUGCAGUGUUCAUCCCCGGUUUUGAGAGUAUAGUUUUCCAUCUUUCAAAGUCAACUAACUGCAAGAUAAAGAUGAAGAUAAGCUUAUGAUGAGUAGAACCUAAAGAGUUCCAUAUAUUACCGUGCAUAAAAUGAACAACGCAAUGCACCCAAAGAGCCACUGAAAAUAAAAUUAUAAUGAUAGAUGUCGCGAUUUAAAGGCUUUAAUUAACAGAACGCAAUGUUAUGUCAUGAUCAUAUACAAAUGAUUGGAAGUAUAGAGUACCAAAACUAAGCAAACAAGUUUUGUGAUGGAGAGUAAGUUCAAGCAAAAACAAUAAGCUGUUCAAUAGAUGAAAAUAAGGUAAAUCAAGGUCAGAGAAAGCAUAAUAAACAUGAUAAGGUCAGUGCCUGAUCUAAAGGAAAAGGAAGGAAGCAUAAUAAGUAAACAUGAUAAUGUCAGUACAUGAUCUACAGGAAAAAGAAGUACAGCAGUUUCUGACUCUCAUACUAAGUUACUAGCCCAAAUUUGUAUAGGAAACAUCAUAAAGUGGUCGGGUUUUCGACUUCAUUUGUUUAUAUAUUUCAAAAUUAUGACCGCAACCAUUAUAUCCAAACUAAUGCUAUUUGACCAAGUAUAUUUCCAAUUUUGUGCAGUUCUAACUAUCCUUGGGGCUUCAUGAUUAUCAAGUCAAAUAUUCUUAUUCAGUUUAAAGUAAACAUAUUAGUCAAGUAAGGUAACUUUUUAGUCAUGAGAAGACUGAAAUUAGUAAAUCGAUGUUCUCGGUUAAUUAUUUCUUGAAAAAACUGACCAAUUAGACAAAAUAAAAAGUUUAAACAAUCUAUUAUUUGUAAACAAAUAGCUGUACUUUCGGAGAGAAAUCUUCGGUAAGAUAUACUGCACUGGAAGUUAACUCUGCUAUAGCAAAAGGAGGCUGCAGUUCAGUGUGUAAGUAUCUCAGCCCAUAAGCGAUACCAAGAGCAAUUCUCAUGCGCCUAGGCCAUGACAUUUGGCAUCCAUCACCAUCUAAAAGAAAAUAAAAAAUUGACGGUUGAAAUUUGUCGAAAUAGCCAAUCUCAUAUCACAAGCAAGAGCGAUUUUUCUUCAACUUACAAUGGAGGUGCUCACAGAGUGUCCCAUUAGAUGCAUAUUCAAGAACUAGCAUUCUUGAAAAUGGAUUGCUUUCGUUGCAGUAACCUAACAACUUAGCUAUGUUUUCAUGAUUUAUCCGUGCAAGGUCUGCUACCUGAAGCAAUAGUAUAAAAACAUGCUUAGUUAAAAUUUGUUGUACUUAAAAAGAUGGAUGAGAUGAAAUGAUUACCUCUUUCUGAAAGUAAAGUUCAACAGAGCUAGUCCAGCAGUCUUCUAAGAUGCAAAGAGAUAUAACAGCAAUUUCAGGCCCAGCCUUCAUAGUGCCUUUGUAUACUACAGCAUCUGAAGAAGACCCAAUUAUGUUGCUGAAAUCUUCACAAGCUACUUCAAGCUCCUGACGGCUUACUUUCAACACACCUUUCAACAAGUCUUCAUCUACAAAAUGCAGCAAGUAAAUUAAUGAGCCAACAGUAUCCUCCAAAUCGUACUGCAAUAUGAGAGAGCGAGAGAGAUAGAGAGAGUCAUGCUAGUAGUAACUGAUUGGUAUUACUGUCUGAUCCUUCCAGCUUGUGCUUCUCCCUGGAGGAAUGACGGUGGAGGAUUUCGAUUUGCAUCUCUUAGUGGCACCAACAAUAUAUGUAAUGAGGAAAAGUGCGAAAAUGGUUCCAGUAAUUAUUUCCAAAAUAAGAAGCCAUAGUGGUUCCUUUCGCUUAUUAUGCUUAUGCUUUUCUCUGGGAUUACUGUAUGUUUCUUCUGUUAUUUGCUGGCCAUUUGCACCUGAAAAUUUAAAAAGAAAUUCAAGGUUCAAUUCCACAUGACAAUCUAAAAGGAAAAUACUGAUAUAUGAUCCAUAUAUCAAACAGAUAAUACAGAUCUUAGAUCAUGGUAUAGGAUUAACAAUUGUUUCUAAUACCUAUAAAUAAAUUGUAAAAAGAGCUUGCAUUUGAAGCAUGUAAAAUUGAAAUAAAUUGGAAGCCUAUGCACAUUUUCGGAAGUAGCAAAACCUCAAUAGUUACAAAGUCAGUGGUUUGCGUAGAGUGUGGAAGGUAUGGCACAACCAUUCCAAAAGGAGAACUAUCGGAUAACACAAUAUUCAACACAUUUUUUGUGUUCCAAAUAAAUCCAUUUUUGCCAGUCGAAAAAAAGUAUGGAUAGACUUCUGACCUCACACUACUUUGCUAAUAAAUGGGACAUCAUAUUCUUAGUGAUAGACCGUUUUUAGAAAGGUUAUCUCACAUUUUUGAGCAGGAUGAUUCAAGUAAUCACCAUCAUUGAAGCAAUUUCCCUCAAAGCUUAAUCUGUAGAAGAAGGCUGUAGAAUAUAUUAAAUUCAGAUAAAAAAAAAGUUGUCUUAAAUGUUUAACCAAAGUUUGUACCUUGGAAGUCUCCUGAAGCAUUUAGGUAUUUCCCCAACAAGCAUAUUAAAUGAGAAGUUUGCAUCUUUCAGCUGAGAUAAUUGGCACAAACCAGUAUCCUUUCCUUCAGAGGAUAAACUGAAUGAAUAAAAACUUACAGUUAAAAUCCAGAGCAAGUACAUAAUCAAAUUCUAAAGUUUUUCGUAAUCAGGUGGUUUAAGUAUCAGUUGUCUUUCAAGCUAGAAUUCCAAUUAAAAAAUCUUACACCUCAGUAAUGGCAAUGCACCAACAACUACAGUACUAUGAUCAAUAUACAUUGCAUUGUAAAAUAAAUAAUUUAAAAUUUCUUCACUGGCAAUCGCAGUAAUAUGAGAGAGAGAGAGAGAGAGAUGAUUUUGAAAUCUUUUCUACUAUCUAUCGCCCUUAUACAUGAAGAUAACAAAUUUGAUAGCUAGAGCUAGAGCCUCUUGUCCUCCAUUUGCUUUCUAUGUUGAUGGUUUCUAAAACAAAUCAAAAUCAAACCAAUUUUUUUCAAAAUUUUCCAACGCAAAACCGAAUCGGUUAUAGGUUGAAUCGAUCAAAAUUUAGGUUAUCAGUCUAAUUUCUGUUUUCCUCAUCCUUACUUGUAGAUCUCACGAAUGGACCAUCUACAUGCCUAAAUUUGAAGCUAUGGAGUUUGCUAUCAGCUAGAAAAGAGUAAAAAGAUUACAAGCGGGUCAUUUUAAGGCCUUCAGUGCCAUAAUAAAACCAUUUUGGAGAAUCUUCACGAUUAGGAGAGUUGUUCAGAAUAUUGAAAAUAUUAUAAACCAACAGAAUACUUAAAGCUAAUGUCAAAUGUCACGGUUAUUCCUUAAACUUCACUUCACAAAUACCCAGCAAAGAAGAUCACUCACUUCUGUGAACUGUUGUUUCCAGGGAUAACUCCAGUUAGCAUGUUUUUGUCCAUACGCAGCUCAACCAUGCUCACCAGUUUACCAAGCUCAGAGGGUAUAGUGCCAGUUAACAUAUUUGAGUGAAGAUCUCUGAGAAUAAUUCAGUAGCAAAAUACAUAAAAACACUGGAAAAACUCGAAAACAAAUAAUAAGGAUAAAUCAAUAUAACUGUUGUUUCCUACAAUUUUAAGAUGCUGGUCAAGUCACCAAUUGCCGGAGGGAUGGGCCCCGAUAGUUGAUUUGAACUCAAAUUCAACAGGGUUAGGCUUUUCAACAUGCCAAUUUCUUCCGGUAUUGGCCCAAGAAGUUCAUUGUCAUUCAAAACUCUGCAGCAAAAAAAAAAAAGAAAAAAGAAAGAAAGAAAGAAAGAAAACUUGAGAUGCUCAUAGAACAACUUCCACGACAUGACAUUGUCCAUGAUAACAAUGUUUUUUUUUUUUUUUGAGAAAAAGGUAGCGCGCUACCCGCUUAUCCAUGAUAACAAUGUUAAAAAGAAUUAAACAGCAACUAAAAGGCUUGCAUACAGUUCUUGCAAAUAACUAAGAGAUCCAAGCGCCGGUGUGAGGAAUCCCGUCAACGACGAAUUGGGCAAGUUACUGCACAAGCCAUAAAAUGUAUCAAAUCUCACAAAAUUCAGGCAAAACACUAGGUUCUUGAGCAAUUAAUCCUAAUGACAAUACAUCCAUAAUUUUUAUACAUAAUCCAAAAAUCUGUAAAGCACAAUUCAGAUCAAAAUCGAUUCAAUCCAUUACUUACAUAGAAAUCACGUGAUUCUGAGGAAAGGCACAGAUGACACCGAGCCAGCCACAAGGAUUCGCAUGUUGGGCAUUCCAAUUGGAUAAAAUCGAACGAGGGUCCUCAUAGAUGGCCUUCUUGAAAGCGCUUAGCGCAGAAACUGCGGAAUCAAACAAUACCGCAUCACAAAAUCAUUUCCAUCCUCAUAAUCUCGUUCGAGAGAUCUAAAAUUCCUCAAAAGAUAACUUAAAGAGGACAAACAUCGAGAAAAAUCCAUGAAAACUGAUUCAAAGAUUCCGAUCGAGAUGAAGACAAAGAAAAUAAGAGCUUACCCUCGUCGGGAUCGGAUUGAGAACGGGCGAAGAGGCACCCCCACGCAAGCGCGAGAAGCAGAGGGCGAAACCCUUGAAUCCAACACAUGUCUCCGCGAAAUAGACGCGAGACCGGAGCGGAUGCAUGCAAGAAGAAGAAGAAGACGACGACGACGACGACGACGACGACGACGACGCACAAAGCCCUCAACCCUAGGAGAAACGAGAGGAGAAGAGGAGAAUUGGAGAGAGAAGCGAACAAAAUAAACGAGGAAAUGUGCGAGAGCGAAGCGUAGAGAACGAAGGUAUAGAGCGAGCGAGCGAGAGAGAGAGAGAGAGAGAGAGAGAGAGAGAGAGUCGAAAAAAAAACAACAACGAGGAAGAGUGAGAGAGCACGGCAUGUUUUAUCGCCUGUCGAAAAAUUCAAAAGAGGGGGAACCCAAAAAAAAAAAAAAAAAAUUGAAAAUGUACGGGGAGGCCUUAAGUAUUAAAUUUAACUUAUCUGUUUGAUUAAGACACCCUCAACUUCUAACUUUUCACAAAAAAGUAACUUCAAUUAAAAAACUAAAAAGCUUUAUUAAAUUUGAUAAUUUUAAUUAUUUUUUAUCAAAUAAAAUUAGGUUAUUUAGUGAUUAACAACCAGUAGAGUUUUUACACAUAGAAUAGCUUAGUUAUGUAUAAAAAUAUAAAUAAAAACAAUUUGGAAGUUUAAGGGGUCAAGAGAACCCCCAACUAUAAGCAAUUUUAAAUUGAUCUACCAAACUUUAUUUAUUAUUAAUUAAAAUAUCUUCGGUCAGGUAAAUAAAAGAGUUUGAUAAAAAUUUACAGUUCAUCGUCGUGCAUUGAACUGUUAACUAAUUAGAUCCGCUAAACUUGAUAAAAUUAUUUUUAAAUUUAAUAAAAUUUUAUUUUUAUAAAUUAAAUAGUUAAAUAAAAACGAAAGAAUUAUUUUUUGUUCCAACAGAUGCUAUUCCAUAAUGAAUGGCUAAAAAUUGAUUAGAAGCUGCUUGGACAGUGAUUUGCUUGGGGAUGCUAUAUGAGGGACUACAAUGCAAAUGUGUGAUCUCCGCUAACUUAAGUAUUUUUCUCUUUCAGUUAAUUACGUAUUUAUCCAUAUUCAGGUAUGUUGAUUAUUGAGGCUAUGAAAUGCAUGUUGGACUUUUAUGUCAAUUACAUAUUGUGGCGCCCAUUCAAAAUGAGUAUGCUUUCACAUGUAAUUAAGUAUCAUAACUAAGUCGAUCUUAUUUAACUCAGCAACCACACUCUUAUUAGUUAGUGGCGGAUAUUCAAGAUCAAGGAUUCGAACUUUACCUUGUGCUUUUAUUAGCAGAGCGUUUUGAGCCUCCAACUUCGUAGAAAAAAAAUUAUAUAUAUACAGAGUUCUUAGAUCAGAAGCAUAGUAACAUAAAAGGAUCUAAUACAUUUAUUUAUAAAAAAAUUCAAAUACCACUCCUAUGAUUUUUACUUUUUCGCUUUGGUAUCAUAUAGUUUAAAAUGUAUCGAUUUAGCGUCUGUAGUUUUAUUUUUUUCUUUUUAUUAUUUCUUUCACUAUUUUUUUUCGUUAAAUUAGUGAUAAAGUUAAAACUAAAUGGUACUAAAGUGAAUAUUCGAUAAACAUAGAUAGAAUAUCUGAGGUUUUUUUAAUAUAAUUUAGCGAAAUAUUAACGGACGAGCUGACGAAAAAUGAAAAAUGAAACCACAAAGUACUAAAUUGAUACACUUUAAAUCACAAGAUGCUAAAGUUAGAAAGUGUGAAAUUUUAGAGGUGGUAUUUAAAGUUUGACUUUUAUUUAUUUAGUCUCUCGAUUAGAAAAAAGUUAAAUUGGAAAAUUAAUUAAUUAGUUUAGGAAUUCUAUUUUGCUGUGACAAGAAACUAUGAAAUUUGGGCUCGUCACUCUAGCAUUUGGCACGUGCUUUGCACGCGAAUGGUAGGCACCUUGUACAUGCCCAAAAUGAGAAUAACUUAUUAGAUAUUUGUUUUGCUAGAUGUUAUUAGUUGCUUUUGAUGUCCACGUAUGUAUAUCUAUAUUCAUAUGACCAGUCAAAUUUAGUCAUUUAGCUGGUAUAGCUACCAGCUGUUAGAUAUUGGAUAGCCAUCGCCCCCCCACCCCAAAAAAACAUCAUCAUCAUAGCAUUCUUUUUUUCUUUUUUUUUCUUUUUUUUUUUUUUGGGAAAUAGGUAGCAAGCUACCAUCAUCAUAGCAUUCAAAAAUGAAAACUUUCGCUAUCAGAAGAGUCUAUUUGGUACAGCAGCAGCCAAUACUAAACAAACUGGACCAGAUUCCACUAAGAAAUUCAUUGCUUUACAUAAAAGAACUGCUACAAAGAUUAUAGUACGAUGGUAUCUAAUAAGCUGAUAAACACAAUAUUUAAUAUAUAUAUAUAUAUAUAGAGAGAGAGAGAGAGAGAGAGAGGGAGAGAGAGAGAGAGUGUGUUAGAGGAGCUAUAAAAUUUUUGAUAGUAUCAAACACUUUGUGCUUAUAAGUUUUUUGUUAUUAGAUCUACCUUUUCAAUCAUUUUUAUCCGUUAGAUUAUACUAUUCAACCAGCCACACAUUCAAUCCUAACAGGACCAUUAUCAUUCUAACCGCAUAUUCUCUAGUCUAAGGGGCCGAAAACCUACUAGUACUAAUAAUUUCAUACUUUUCAAAGUAUAGGAGCUUAAUUAUAUAUAUGUAUAGAAUUAGGCUGGAAUACUAUUAAUAGUAAAACGCUUAUUUUGCUAUCAAGUUUUUAACCCUUGGAUAAAAAAUUGUAGAGUCAGAAUGAUAUUAGUCGGUUAGAGUUGAGUGAUCCCUCUAGGGUUGAGUGGUUCCUACUGGGUUAUAGUAUUUAAUCCAAUAGUUAGAAAUAAUGAAAAGAGUUGAUCCAAAGGCUAAAAAACUGAUAGCAAUAAUAAAAUUUUGUUACUAAUAGUAUCCCAGUCCAACUAUAUAUAUAUAUAUAUAUAUAUAUAGAGAGAGAGAGAGAGAGAGAGAGAGAGAGAGAGAGAGAGAGAGAGAGAGAGAGAGAGAGAGAGAGAGAGAGAGUAGAGCUAGAAUACUUUUACAAGUAUCACCCAAGUGGUACUUGUGUGUUUUUAGCCCUUGGAUGGAGAGAUGUGAGGUUGAGAUGAUGGUGGUAGGUGGUGGUAGGUGGAAUAGUGUUUGAUCCAAGGCCUAUUAGUAAUCAAAAAGUAGAUCCAAUGGCUAAAAACACACAAGUAUCACUUGGGUGAUACUUGUAAAAGUAUUCUAGCCCUACUCUAUAUAUAUAUAUCUUAUUUUAAAUAAAUUUAAAAAAUUUUCUAACUAAAAUUCAAUUAAUUUAAACUUAUUUACACCAUUAAAUAAGUAAACCUCUUGUUUCGACCAUUAAAAUUACAAAAUUUGCAAUACAUUGAUCAUUAAGAUCAAUGAUGUUGAAAAGAUUAUAAAACUUUAAACACAAGUUUUCCUUCUUGCAUUUAGAUGCUUACCCCCCCCCAACUAUUGGCUCUAAUUCGUCAACGUGAGAACAUUGCGUACAACUAAAGAACCUUUUGUUCUACUCCAAUGAAAAGAAGCAAUGUCAAUACAACCAGAACCAAAAAUCAUAAUACUCUGCACAAAUACUACCCCACGCAUUCAUUACACAAACCAAGGUUACAUGGCUCCUGUUACCCACACACAAAUAAAAAAAAACAAAGGAUUACUGGCUCCAGUUUUCAAAUAAUGGUAACUACUGGAAUAUUAUACAAAUAGAACAGAGAGUGUAGUUUGACUAUAAACAAGGAAAAAUUUAGGUCGGUCACAAUACUGAUGAAUUAUUACAACAGAAAAGAAGCAUCAGAAAAUAUUUAAUGUGAUCAUACUAUCACUGGGACAACUGGACAAGAAAAGAGCCUGUUCAUUUCCACAGAAUCAGCAAUAAUUUGACACCCCAAUCCUUUUCCCAAUCAUGCAAGCUCUUACAGAAACCACAGGUAACAAGAUUACUUGCGAACUACAGCGACUGAUCUCUGAGUCUGUCCGCUUGCAGAGAUAUGAGCCAUUUGCCAUGAUGAUGGCUUAACUCGCCCAGCCAACAAAGCAGAUGCUGUAGCUGCUUUUAUCUUUCUCCUCUUUAACUCGAGCUCUAAUCGUUUGCUACCUGAUGCAGAGCUCGAUGGCUCCACAAAUAUAGAAGCAGCCUUGAUUGCCGCCCGUUUAUCCCUCCUGUUUUUCUCAAAUUUUGAUGAGAAUCUAACCGCAGCUGCGGCAGCUGCAUCUUCUGAAGAGGGUGGAAGAAGUCUUACUCCAAGGCCCAUCUUUCUUGCAACCUCUGUUUCUUCAGCAACCCUUUUCUUUUGGCUCUAUAAAGAGAGAAAACAGAUGGGCAACAUUAUGAAUUUUGUGAAGGAUAAUUGCCGUCUGCAAGAUAAUUAAGGUGAAAGUGAAAAUAGGACAAGUGAACUCACUCUAAGACGAUCACGGAGGGCUCUAUUAAGACUAUAGUCAUUGGAGUGCCUACUGUCCGAAACUCUCUGAAGGCGGACUAGCACUGGUUCUGCUUCUUUCUUCUUCUGAAGAUCUUCUUCCUGAUGCUCAAGUCGGUAGAAAGGAUCGGCAAGUUUUCCUCGUUCUACAUCAAGUUUUUUAAUAGCAUGUUAGUCCAACAACAAAAAGAAUGAAGGGAAUACCAGAUACUUGUUUCCAAAAUGAAAGAAAACUGCAGUACCUUCAUCUGCUGGAAGAGCAAAUGUUUCUGCAUCUUCAAUGUCAAAAUCUUCUGUCUUCCGCUGAGCUCCACUUAUGAUGACAUACUCGCAGUUCUUAGGAUCCGUCUGUAUGAUGAUUUCAUGCUUACAGCAUGCUGACUUCAUAGUGAAGCUCCAUAUCUAUAGCACAAGCAAAUAACAGAACACAAUUAGGACAUAUAUUGCUAAUGAUUAAGAGGUCAAUAUACAGUAUUAAAUUACUAAAUGUCAAAAACGGUCUGAGAAGAGAGGUUUCGAAGCAGAUGAUAUCCAGAUAUCAUCAACCUAAAAUUUCAUCAAUUAACAAGAUAAAGCUUUGCAAUCUAACCACGAAUAGAUCUAUAGUUUUUGCUGAAAUCUGUAAUACUUCACAAAAUAACAAUUAAAACUGAUACCAUCACAUGUAACAAGUAUCAUACGCAACUUUCGAGAAAUAUCUACAAUGGGAUAUACAAGGUACCUUCGUUGAGUAAUAAUUGCCCACUUGCUUUUUCUCAGCAUUAAACCUGACACCCUUGGCAAUCAUGGAAUUGCAUCCACCGCACCAUAUAUUGAAAGGCAUCUCGAAUCUGUAAAGAAAGGGUAUAAAAUAUAAGCAUAUUAAUUUGACAGCAUAAUGAGCUAUACAAAUACACAAUUGGGUCUUGCACGGUAGAGUUAUGUAACAACUUUCUAAACAACUGAACCCAAGUAUGAGGUCAGAUAAUGCAACUAUGCUAAUGGUUUGAAUUGAAAAAAACAAAAAACAAAAUUUCCCUAAUCCCAAUCAGCAUAAACAAAUGCUUAGAACUACAAAUUUAUGCCUCGUCUCUCGCCUACUCACCUUCGUCCACUUCAAUAGUUUGCAAUGAGUAGAGCAGCCAAAUGAGAUAUGAAUAUACACGUACAUAAUAUGUGUCUAAGCGUCUGCGUAUCUGCUAUUGUUUCCUCCAGAAACUUAAAAUAAUGUAAAGAAUACUACAGAGAGAAUAUACCUAUAAAUAUAUUGCUUCCAAAUACAAGAGUAAGCAUUGCUGACAAACUUUUUCCAAAACAGUCAAAAAUUUCAUAAUACAUAUAUAUUAUUGCAUACAUAUAUUGUUGGAACCAAACAAAAUGGUUCCAAUUAAAAAAGAGUAAACAGAAAUUAUCACAUAUACAUAUAUAUAUAUAUAGAGUCCGGCUGAGAUACUAUCGAUAGCACCAAGCAUUUGGUGCUAUCAAGUUUUCCGCCGUUAGAUUUAACCUUUGACUAUUUUCACCCAUUAGAUUAUACUAUUAAACCAAUAACUCACUCAACCCUAGGGGGCCCACAUUAUCCUAAACGUCCAUUUUUUCAUCCAAGGGCCGAAAACCUAAUAGUACCAAAUGCUUGGUGCUAUUAAUAGUAUUCCAGCCUAGGUAUAUAUAUAUAUAUAUAUAUAUAUAUAUAUAUAUAUAUAUAUAUAUAUAUAUAGAGUCCGGCUACUAUACUCUUAUGAGUACGAUCGCCUUCGUACUCAUAAGUUGUUUUUGAUGAUAGAGCUUCCGAAUCGACGAUCCAUACCGUUAAAAGUUAUCUAGAGCAUUUAAUUUAAAACUUCUAGAAAUCAAAUUUUAUAAUUUUUCGAUAUCAUUUACCUUACGAUCAAAAGCUCACAAAAUUGANGAUAAUUUUUAACGGCCGGUAUAAGAUAUUUGCUAGUUUAACGGUGAAAAAGAAUAGAAAUAGAUUGAAUUUUUGAUAGAAAAUUCUAUUCACUACCUAAAUAAAGCUCAAUAACUCCAAUCUUAAAUUAAAGGAUCCGAUCAUCCAUUUUUAGGAUGUCGUUCGAUUUUAACCGUCCAUUUUAUACCCGCUUGAUAGAAUUUAUAAUGAUUUCGAAAAAUUACGAAAUUUAUUUUUUAGAAGUUUCAAAUACUAUAGAUCAUGUUUAACGGUGUGGAUCAUUGAUUUGAAAAUCCCAAUAUCGAAAACAACUUAUGAGUACGAAGGACUCUAUACUCAUAAGAGUAUAGUAGCCCUACUCUCUCUCUCUCUCUCUCUCUCUCUAUAUAUAUAUAUAUAUAGAGCUAGGCUACUAUACUAUCUAUAGUACCGAGCUCCGGUACUAUAGUGUUGGUUUUCGAUCUUAGGACGUUCAAAUCAACGAUCAACACCGUUAAAACUGAUCUAGGGUAUUUAAAUUUUAGAAUAAUUUAACGACAAGUAUGACAAAACUAUUUCAAAAUUGUCACUACAUGCUAAGUACUGAGUUGGAGUUAAAGGGUAGAAAUAGCUAAAUUUCUUCAAAAUUUGAUAGAAAAUACUUUAAACUAUAUAUAAUUAAGGUUAACAUUCUUGAUUGAUUUAAACAGUCCUAUGCGCUCAAAUUUUAAAGAUAUCAAUUUCCACCGUCCAUUUUGAUAUAAUUUAUCUUACUAAUAAACGAUAUCGAAAAAACUAAAUAUUUAUUUCUAAGAAAUUCAUAUAACCAAGAUCGAUAUUUAACGGUGUGAUCGUUGAUUUGAACGCCCUAAUCAGAAACAGAACACUAUAUACGUGAGCUCGGUAGCUAUAGAUUAGUAUAGUAAGCUAAUUCAUAUAUAUAUAUAUAGGGUAUUUGCAUACACGUCCCUACAAAACAUAGUGAAAUUGUAGAAAUAUCCCUGCAAAACGAAAAACUCCAUAAGUAUCCCUGCAAAAGUCUAAGUUAUGCAGAUAUGUCCCUGCCGUAAGUACUGUUAGAAAAUUUUCGUUAACCACGGUUAAAGUACUUAACCAUGGUUAAUUAUAAUGUAAAUUUACGAUUCUACCCUUCUUCUUCUCCCCCCUCUUCUUCUCUUCCCUCUUCUUCGUCGCCGGCGAGGGCGGCGGCGGCAGCGGCGGCACGCGCGGCGGCGGAGGCGACGACGGCAGGCGGACGGCGAACCCAUCUCUCUUCUUUUCCUCCUUCUUUCCUUCUCUUCCUUUUCUUCCCUUUCUUCUUCCUCUUCCUUUUCCUCUUCCCUAUUCUUCAUUCGCCGGCGAGGGAGAAGAUCCGACGGCGGCAGCGAAUCCUCUCCCUCUCCUCUUCUUCUCCUCUUCUCUUUUCUCUUCCUCUUCCUCUUCUCUUCCUUCCUCUUCCCUCUUCUUCGUCCUGCAGGAGAGAGCAUGGGCGGCGGCGCGUGCGACGAACCCUUUCCCUCUUCAUCUUUCUCUUCCCUCUUCCUCUCCCUCUUCCUCUCCUCUUCCUCUUCCUUUUUUUUCUUCCUCUCAUUCUUCUCUUCCCUCUUCUUCGUCGCCGGCGAGCUCGACCCACGCGUCGCCGCCAUCCCCUCCGGCGCCCGAAGAGGAAGAGGAGAGAAAGAGGGGGAAGAUGCUUUUGGAGGGAUAUAUUUGUGAGCGCAAAAUGUCAUUUCACAUGAAAACUGUUAAAAAAUAAACAGUUCUCUAACAGAUGUUAAUCAGAGGGACAUAUCUGCAUAACUUUAGACUUUGCAGGCGACAACUAUGGAUGUUUCCGUUUUGCAGGGAUAUUUCCGCAAUUGACUAUGUUUGCAGGGACCUGUAUGCACUCAACCCUUAAUAUAUAAUAUAUAUAAUAGAGUUGGACUGGGCUACUAUUAGUAGCAAAAUCCCAUUGUUGCUACCAUUUUUAGCCUUUAGAUCAACUCUUUUCAUUAUUUCUAACCAUUGAUUAAAUACUAUAACCCAGUGGGGACCACUCAACCUAGGGAACCACUCAACUCUAACCGACUAAUAUUCAUCCUGACCUACAAUUUUUCAUCCAAGGGUUAAAAACUUGAUAGCAAAAAGAGCGUUUUACUAUUAAUAGUAUUCCAGCCUAAUUCUAUAAAUAAAUAAUAUAUAUAUAUAUAUAUAUAUAUAAUAGGCCAUGGCUACUAUACUAUUAUGAGUAUUGAGCACCUCGACUUAUAAGUUGUUUUCAAUGAUGGAGCUUCCGAAUCGACGAUUCACUCCAUUAAAUAUGAAUCUAGAGUAUUGAAAUUUCUAGAAAAUAAAUUUCGUAAAUUUUUAAAUCAUAAUAAAGUCCAUCAAGUGGGCAUAAAAUGAACGGUCAAAAUCGAACGACGUCCUAAAAAAGGAUGAUCGGAUCCUUCACUUCAAGAUCGGAGUUAUUGAUCAUUAUCUAUGUAGUGAAUAGAAUUUUCUAUCAAAAAUUCAACAAAUUCCGAUUCUUUUACGCCAUUAAACUAGCAAGUAUCCCAUACCGGCCGUUAAAAAUUGUCAAAUUUGUGACCUCUUGAUCGUAAGGUAAAUGAUGUCGAAAAAUUAUAAAAUUUGAUUUCUAGAAGUUUUAAAUGCUGUAAAUAACGUUUAACGGUGUGGAUCGUCGAUUCGGAAGCUCUAUCAUCAAAAACAACUUAUGAGUACCAGGGCGAUCGUACUCAUAAUAGUAUAGUAGCCGGACCCUUGGUGCUUCUAGGUUUCUAACCCUUGGAUCUACUCCUUGAUUACUAAUAGCCUUGGAUUAAGCACUAUUCCACCUUCCACCACCUACCACCAUCAUCUCAACCCUACAUCUCUCCAUCCAAUGGCUAAAAACUCAAAAGCACCACUCCCUUGGUGCUUUUGAGAGCAUUCAAGCUUAACUAUAUAUAUAUAUAUAUAUAGAGAGAGAGAGAGAGAGAGAGAGAGAGAGAGAGAGAGAGCUGGAAUGCUAUCAGUAGCAAACGGGCUCCAUUGCCACCCAUUUGUUUUCGAUGAUGAGCCUACAAAUCGGCGAUCGGCACCGUUGAAUAUAAUUUAUACCAUUUGAAGUAUUUAGAAACCAAAUUUCAAAUCUUUUCGACAUCAUCGACCUAAUGAUUAAAGGGUUUCACAAUUUGUAAUUUUAAUGGUCGAUAUGAGGCAUUUUCUAGUUUAACGAUGUAAAAAUAUCCAAAUCAAUUGAAAUUUUGGUUAAAAAAUUCUUUAAACUAUUUAAAACAAGAUCUAUACUCUCGAUCUUGAUUACAAGACUCCUAUCAUCACUUUUUAGAGGAUAUUCAUUUUUAACCGUUCAUUUUUGUGUCCACUUGAUGGACAAGAGAACAAUAUCGGAAAAGCAUGAAAUUUGAUUUAUAGAUGCUUCAAGUGGUAUAGAUCAUGUUACACGGUAUUGAUCGUUGAUUUUGAGGCUCCAUCAUCGAAAACAAAUGGGUGGCAACGGAGCUUGUUUGCUACUGAUAGCAUUCCAGCUCAACUGUGUAUAUAUAUAUAUAUAUAUAUAUAUAUAUAUAUAUAUAUAUAUAUAUAUAUAUAAGAAAUAUAUAUAUAUAUAAGAAAUAGUCUAUAAUAUGCACUAUUCACAUACUAUUAAUAGUAUCCUAGCUGGACUCUAUACGUGCGCGUGCACACAGAAACAAACUGACACAAGUAAUUUCUCUACUCAAUGCCAGAUUCGAAUACUUAAGAACCAUGACAGUAACAUCCCUAAAAUUUCCACAUAUAAAUACAACCUUAGAACUUAUAUAUUAAUCCAGUUCUGAAUUUUCCUAUCUUCUUAUUCGUUAAUUUAUCUUGAACUCAUAAAUGUAACCUAUUCUUACCUCUGCUCCAAAUCAUCAAUUUUCCAUACCAAUUUGAUUUGUAAUUGUGCUUACACUCUUUAUAUUGGACUUACAUUUAUGAAAAAGUUAGCCGGGAUUCUUGGUAAUAAGCGAUCAAGUCCCUCGUAGUGCUACAAACUCUACCUUCUGAAUUGGAGUUCUUGGACCAUGAUAUUCUUUUACACCACUCUGAAAACUCAUCCUGCUUACAUAACUGAUCUUGCCCAUUAAAAUGAUUAAUCUUGCACAUCAGAGUGAUGGCCCUCAUCAUCCAACUUGCAACUUCAAACCUUACCAUCUUCAAGAUAAUCCUUGAGGUACUAACUUUAUGUCAAAGAUGGUCUCAAUAAUCAUCAUGCCAACAACAUUCAUAAAACCUUCACCCUAAAGGAAGUUGGCAUAUUUGAUGACAAAAAGCUUGACAUUCAACUAUUGGGUGCUUGCAUAGGAUUAGAGAGCAUUUACUGUGUUCUAUAGGGCAUCCAUCCUCAUCACUAGUUCUUCAAAGAGUCAGAUAAGCACCUCCAAGAACAAUGAUAACAAUUCUUAACUAAAAAACUCCUGUGCCUUGUUGCUAAGAAAAGCAAUUCUUACAUCAAAGAAACUCAACAGUAGCACGCCUAGUACUUCUUCUUGCUCCUCAGUUUCAAAAAGGUGAUUCACAUGCCUGUAAAUUAUCAACUUAUCUUACUCUGACACCAAACUUGAUUUAUCCCACAUCUUGGGGAGGAUUUCAGUAACCCACUGGAUAAUGGAGGUUUCCCAACCACCAAAAAAAAAAAAGAAAAAAAGAUUGAGACUAUUUCUUUGCAUAAUGGAUGAAUAAAUCUGAUGUUUAUCGAAACAUGCUAGAUAUGCCAAGUACAAUUAGGUUGCGUAGCUUAAUACUGAAUGAAAAGAGAUUAAAGGACAACAUUCUUCAAACAAACAAGGUGAGAGAAAACUAACUUUAUCCUGCAAAACUGUAGUACAAGAGCGAGGAAGCGUAACCCCCUUAUUUUAUAGAUGGAUGACAAAGGAGCUAAAUCAGAACCACGACUCAAUUUGCUGAAGUUGACAUAAUAAUCUUUAUAACAUAAGACCUAUUCUCAGCUAUUUUUGAACAUUCAGAAACAAAGAAAACAAGAUAUGUUUUAUGUUUUGAUAGCAGAUGGAUUAUGACUCCGAUUUCACAAUGGAAGAUGAAUCAUUAGCCUGUUUCCUAGUUCUACAGCUUGAAUGGUAAAUUCCAUUAUUAUUCAUCCAAUAUAAUCAAGGUAACGCCAAAUCUUAUAGGACAUGAGUUGCAGGAUUGAAUUGAACUAAUAUAACUAAAGUGCUUUAGAACACCUUGAAUUCAUCAAUAACCAAAACAGGCACAAAGGAGCGGAGAGGACAGAGAAACAAAGAGAAUCUAAAGAAACCCUAAUGACCGCUAUCGAGAAAGGCAGCUACACUCCAAGUGUAUAAAGGACAGGUUGGUAGCCACCCUUCUCAUUAUUAUAAAAAUAUCACACUUAGAUGAAUUUAAAAUACAAGAUAAAUAUGCCUACUUGAAUGAUUUAUCCAAUUACAACCCAUCUGAAUCUAAUAGACCUUGGGAAACCAAAAAAGUAGUCUAGUGCAGCAAACCAAUCAAAGGUAACUGACAACCAUUGCUGUUAUAUAAGUCCUGCACUUCAAAGUAUCGGUCAUCAAGAAUUAUAGGACUGCUAGUCAGUUCUGUGGAAAUACAUGGCAAGCCUCUUUCAUUUGAUGACUGGAUAAUUUUAAUCUACCGGUGUGAAAAACUCAUAGUUGUGCUCAUUCACAAUCAUACGAAAUGCAAGAUUCUGAAGUCCAUUAUCAUAACAACUACUAGGUUGGCAACAAUAGACAAAUGUUAGAGACCAUCAAAGCUAGAUUGAUACCAAUUAGUAAGCUUAAGUCAACAACUACAACAUCAACAUCAGCAAGGCAAACACAACUACACAAGAUCGCCUAGAGAUAACUAGUACACUUUGGUUUACCCAGUGAGAUUUCAUAAGUCACAUACUUUUUAUAUAGUA
RNAcentral lists this long non-coding RNA (68733 nucleotides) under Ananas comosus (pineapple). RNAcentral describes it as "long non-coding RNA (ACOM_LNC016588)". Lineage: Eukaryota; Viridiplantae; Streptophyta; Magnoliopsida; Poales; Bromeliaceae. The record is from RNAcentral.